Molecule: long non-coding RNA, 58859 nt
Filed under: Populus trichocarpa (black cottonwood)
Lineage: Eukaryota; Viridiplantae; Streptophyta; Magnoliopsida; Malpighiales; Salicaceae
Description: long non-coding RNA (PTRI_LNC000456)
Source: RNAcentral
AUCAAGUCUCAGUCAUCUUGAAGUAUGUCGACAACAAGUCACAUAAGCAUAUGCAAUAGAAACAGAGCAUCAAACUGACAGAGAAAACAUACUGAUACCCUUAUUCACACAGAAAACAUACUGAUAGAUAAGUCGAAAUCUUCUAUGGUAAAUAAGACUGUUACAAUGUGAAGCCAAUUUGUAUCCCGUUGCCAAUGGAACAGUAGGAAUUACUUCCCACCAAUCAAAAACAUAUCUGCAGCACCACAGCUCAAAGACAUGAAUCUCCGUGAAAUCGCCUAUUGAGGAGUUGAUCGUGUAACAACCAACCAACCUUGCCUCAAGCAAACACGAAGAACAAAGACCAUCCAUGCAUAUUUAAUUCACCCAUUAAAAGUUGAAGGAUAAGGAGAGAAGAUAAAUAAUCAUAGCCAUGUUACCUAGUCAGGGCAAGGAUGAAUUAUUAGCAUGUUUCUCAAAUCCCAAUCCCAAACUAAUCAUUUCUCUUCAUUUUGUUGUGCUCAGCGAAGGAACUACCAAAUCUUACUGAAAGUAUUUAAGUGAAGACAACAAAUAGAUGUGUACUGUUUUAUUUGAACUGAAAAGAAUUGAUUGCUUACAGAUCAUUGCAAUCCUUACAAAUAUAUAGUAAACCAAACAAACUGAAUUGCUAACUUAAAGCACCAAAUCAUGCAAAAUGCUACCAUCAUUACCUUCAAAUCUAUAGUUAAUUCCAUUUUUCUAUAAAAGACAAAAUCAUCGGUAUCCAAUAGUUGCCGACUUCACCACGGGUUCAACAUUUUUUUGGCAAGUUGGGAUUCGAUACUAAUGAGCAUAUUUCUUAAGUUGAAAUAGUGCUACCCAAUCUAGGUUACAGUGGGUUGAUGAAUUAAAGAGCAGUUGUUAUUUGACACUGCAAUUAGAUGGCUCAUAUUUGAUUUACGGAGCUAUGAUAUGGGAAUCGUGCUUGUAUCACAUAUAAAAAUAUUUACAUAGUAACAAGCAUUAUUAAAGAUGGUACACUAGUAAGUUUCCAAAUGCUAUCAACAAAUAUUAUAACCUCUUAAUUUAUACAAGGAUUGAGCUAAAUUGCAUACAAGCAAUCCCUAACUUUGGUAGUUUCUUUGUGUUAAAAAUGGAGACUUCUUGGUGUUUGCCGGAACUCCAACUUGGGUAUACCUUUUGUGAACAAGAAAAAAGGUAAAAACAUCUUUCAACGAUAUCAAAUCAUUUAUUCAUAUAAAGUAUUAGUGUUGUCAUUUAAUUUCACUACAUUGUAGAAAAUUCUGAUUUGAUACCAAUUCAUGCUUGGCACGACUGUUACAUGACACCUGGGAUGCUCAGCAACACUACAUCCACAAUCAUGACGACGAACACUGAUGCAGCCACGAAAACAUCAAAACACUAUUUGCUUUGGUAGUAGUAUUGACUGCAAACUUGGUUGACCAACAGAAUCCCUGCCUUCAGCCAACCCCAAAUUUGACUAUCAUCGUAUAAUAUUGAUCGUCACAUUAUAUUUUCCAACUUUUAAUAGGAUUUUAAGGACAAGUUACAGUUGAAAGCUAAUAUAACAACAUUCUUAAAUUCACAUCCUACCGACCAUUAUGGCUAUUAGCUUCCAACCAUUCUCCAUGUUUCACUUUUCUUCAAGUAUUUUCACCAAAAUAAAGCUUCAACCUUUCAAGUUUUGCUUAUAAAGUCAAGAUCCAUGGGAUUAUUUAAGAUUUUAUGGGAAGCAUUUCAAAUAUUUUACGUUUUUUUUUUUUUAAAUAUUGUUAUAGACAUAGAAUCAACAAGAUUGUGUGACAUUCUAUAUUGAUUUUGUGAUAUUUUAAUCACUAAAAGUAUGGGUUUCAGAAAGAUAAAAACCAAACAAAAAAUUGAAAAAAAUAAAAAUUUUCAAACCAACAGAAUCCAACAUAUUGAUCAGUUUUGGUCUGAUUUGAUUCGGAUAUUUUUUAGCUGAAACAAUUAAUAACCAUUUUCAAAAGGUAAGUAUUGACAAGCCUUUCACGAAACCAUGUUCAUUUAUGCUGAAUCAAUCCAAAUCAGGUUUAGGUUGCUAACUCAAACUAACACAAUCCAAAAUUGAAUGCACACAGACUCUGGGUUGUUUCAGUUUAAUGAUUUUUACAGUUUAAUGAUUUUUAGAAAUGUCUAACUGAAACCGAACCGAAAUAUAUGAAUAUUUCUAACUGAGACGCCCCCAAAUACUGAAAAAAUGAUUGGUUUUGUUUUGUUUAGUUUGGUUAUAGCAGAUACCCCUAACAAUCUGCUUUUUCACUCGACAUCAAACAACAAGCACUAAUAUUAUGUCUGUAAGUAAAUUACUAUAAAGUAUAAAAAUAUAUGUGGAUAAUUGAAAAUUUGCUUAGAGUUGCUAAUAAUUCACAACUGCAACAACCAACACGACCAGGUAAUGCUUGGGAAUGGGAUCAUGUAAUGCCCGGGAAUGAGCCUUGGUGCACAAUCAUGAUUGUAACCAUGAUUUAAAAUCAUUUCCACACUAGACUAUCCAAGACAAUUGGUAUUGGAUUGUUAGCAACAAUUCAGUUUAUAAUAAUAAUAAUAAUGUUGAUUCUUUUAUCUCCUACUUAAUGCAAGUGUCCAUCGUGUGCUGAAAUUGAUUGUUUACCUCAAAUUUCUUUUAAAGGUAGAGAUUUCUUGGUUGACAAUGGGAAAAAGUAAUCGCAUGGUUAUUUUCCAUAAGAUUCAUUUGAGUAAAUAUUCUCUAUUGGAGGUCAAUUUCAUCGAAGCAAUUACUUCAAUGAACACGUCCUAACUAGCAACCUCUAAGUAGUCAUCUCCCUCAUCCUAACUUUUUAUUUCCUAAUAAAAUCUCACGGAUUUCCAUCAUGUUCAAAGGAAAAGUUGACGUUGCAAAUGGUGCUCUAAGGAACCAAGUCAUCCUAGAACUAAUCAUCCACCUAAUCUCAUCAACUCCUUGUUGCACAAACAGCUUGUCUCACUUAAAGGGGAUUUUAAUGAUGAACAAACACCAACUCCUUGUUGAUCAAAUACAUAUGCUCAUUUAAACACGAUUUUGCAUUACCUAGAACUGACAAGGCCUAAAAUUCCUGACAUAGAAUUUUGUUUUAAAGGAACUUCAGGAUUUCUAUAUAGGAUGCUUGACCUCAUUAAAGAUAAACUGAGGACAUCCAUAACAUAAAUUAUCUUCCUUGCCCCAAAGUCAGCACAGAAAAACCCUGUUCACUAUAAAGGUUCUGAAUGUUUUUCCUAAAUUUCAUGAUAUGGCAUUAACACAUCAAACACCCAAUUUAGCAUUCUUAUGCAAACUACAACUGCAGAAGGCUUGCACAUGUAGGGGAGGUAGGAAGAGCUGCAAAGUUGUCGCAUCUAUUGUUAUGCUGUUCAGAGUUUCAAUCUCACCAUCCAAUCUGCCAAAAAUAUAAAAGAUCAUGUGCAUGAAUUUGAUCUCAAAGGGGUAACACCUCAUAUGCCCACGGGAGAUACAUGACCAGUGAUGGUUGUUCUAUCCACAAAAUUAGCUAACAUAUGACUUUUUUAUUCAACUACCAUUUCAUGAUAUGAGUUCUCCUAGCCACACUCAAAAGCCCUAGCCGCCAUAUGAACAAAGCACCUAAAAAAUUAACCACCUACCUAAUCUAAUUCAGGAAAAUUUGGUCAAAAUCUCCUACAAUGAAACGAGUUAUUUGAAUGCAUAGUCAGGAAAUUCAGGUAAACACACACACACCUGAUCAUAAAUUUCCUAAAGAAAUUCUGAAUUGUAACAUUGGUAAACAAAGAGUGACAAUAUCAUCACAUUAAAAAUGCAUUUCACUCAAAACAAAUAAUAGCUCAAGAAAAACAAUUGCAAGAAGCCAAUAAAGAAUAAAGUAAGCAGGCCAUAAAAAAGAGACAGAGAGACAUUGUUCCAAUAGAGAAAAGUAAUUAAAACCCAACAACUAAAACUGAGAAAGAAUCAAACCAGGGAGUAACUAAUCCUUUUAAAGCAUUCCAAGAAUGGCAACCAAAUGUAACAUAAUCAACCUGCAAAAACAAACACAAAAAGAAUUAGAAGAAGAAAUCCCAUUAGUUAAUAAGUUAAAACAGCAGCAGCAGCAAAAAGACUAAAAUUUUAGUUAUUUGGACUUGAGAAAAAGCACUGAACCCUCUGUGAAAAUGCCAUGAAAGGGGUGCUAAGAAACCAGGAAAAUAAAAACUUGUAAAAGGGUGUUUUUACAAAGCAAGAAAGAAGCUAGGAAGCAAGGAAGCAUGCCAGCCUACCCUCACGAACUCUGUUUGUUAGGCCAUGUUUGUUUCCCGGAAUUCACUUUCCGGGAAACUAUUUUCCAAACUUUCCUGUUGUCGCACCCGACAUCGCGGCGGCCCUAAAAGUAGUUCUCGAUAUAUGGAAAAAGAACAGAUUUCUGGCAUCUGGUUCUUUUAAGGGAAAAGGUCUUGUUUGAGGAGUCGCCACCUAGUAUUAUGGUCACUAGGAACCCUAACUGGUCAACAGAGAUUCUAUGGCUCGGGAUUGGUUACGUAAAAGGGAAGAUAUUAUCACCCCUUAAACGUUCUGCCUAAGGCAGACUGCAUUGCUGGUUUUGUCUUAAAUUGCUAAACAUUUAUUCGCUGAUGCUAUGAUGAUUUGUUUAUAAUAUUCCUGACUCUGGCGCCAGUGAAUAUUCGAGCUCGAAUAAUUCCAACUCUGGCGUUGGUAAAAAUUCGUAGCUACGAAAAAAAAUUAGAUCAAUAUUUUUUAUUUCUUACUCUAGCGCCUAGUGAAUAAAUAAAUAAAAAUAAAUUUAUUUUUACGCAUGCACAUAUUUUUUUAUUUUUCUAGCUAAAUAAAAUAAAAUACAACGAAUAAAAAUAAUAUAAAUUUAAACCAGUAUUUUUAUUCCUGACUCUAGCGUCAGUGAAUAAACCAAUAAAUUUACAUUAUUUUUAUUCAUGCAUACACAUUUUUUAUUUUUUCUACUUUUUUUUUAUUUUUCUGUUUUUUCUAAUUUUUUAUUUUUUUUGGGCUGGGCCCAUCUCAGCCCACAUAGGCUGGGCUAGACCCAGCCAGCCCAGCCCGGUCACUGGCCUAAGCCAGUGACCCGGCUGGGCCACAUGAGGCACGCGUGAUCCAAAUCACGCAUGCCAGGCCUUUAGUUUUAAAUCAAGACAGGCGGCGAAGAUGAAUUAAUGAAACGCGGGGAAAAAAAAACAGAGCAGAAGACUUACCUGGUUCGUUUGCAGGGAGUUUACGCGAGAUUGCUGAGGGCGACGUUUCUGCUUCGAAUUUCCUCUUAAUUCCUUCUGCUUGUGUUCCCUGUUGUAUUCCUUUCAUGUGUCUCUAUUUCAGCUUGUUUUUCUUCGUCUUUAUGCUCUGUUUUCAGAACACCAUCUCUCUCUCUCUCGGCUGGUUUUCUCUCUCGUUUUUCUUAAGUCAGAACUGGUGAGGGAAGCCUAUUUCUAGUAUGGGAGUUCUGGAGAUGAACCUAAAAAUUAUGUGCUUUGCUUGUGUUUCUCUUCUUUUCGGUUUCUUUCGUCUCUCUCUCCCUCUCUAACCGACCUUUCUCUUCGGUGCUGCUCAGUUUAUAUAGGGCUCGGCGGGUUGAUAACAGGCGGUAGGCUAACGGUCGGCCACCAUUAAGGCGCCCAUAACUGAAGCCAACGGACGACGAUUACUGCUGCAACGUUCCUCCCUCCAUUACUGCAGAAACGGUCACUGGCUUAAAGGAGAAGAAGAUGAACAGCAUCCUCAAAACGACGCCGUUUGGAGAUAAACAGUGGCCAUUUUCACUUUGACCCAUGAAGUUUCGAAAAUUUUAUAAUUAAACCCCUGUUUUAAACAGUAAUUUUCCCUGCAUUUCGGCGCCUUUUACAAGUUAGUCCUUGGACUUUAAUCUGCUGCAAUCGUAUCCCCAAUUAACCCCAAACUUUGCUAUUUCUUCAAUUAAGUCCCUGAUUUCAUUAAUUUAAUUAAAUCCAAAGUCCAAUUAAGUCUAAAACUUAUCAAUUCUCCAAUUAAGCCCCUGAUUGGAUUGAUUAAAUUAAUUCCAAGCUUAAUUAAGUCUCAAAACUUAUCAAUUCUCCAAUUAAACCCUUGAUUGGAUGAAUUAAAUUAAUUUCAAGCUUAAUUAAGUCUAAAAAUUUAUCAAUUCUCCAAUUAAACCCUUGAUUAAAUUAAUUCCAAGCUCAAUUAAGUCUCAAAACUUAUCAAUUCUCCAAUUAAACCCUUAAUUGGAUUAAUUAAAUUAAUUCCAAGCUUAAUUAGAUUAAUUUCAAAGUUUAAUUAAACCCCAAAACUUCUAAUCAUGUUGCCCUUAACCCAAAUUUUAAUUCAUUCUUCAUUUAUCUCAUUUUACUUGUUUUUUUAUCAUUAUUAUUUUUUUAUCAUCAUCAUCAUUUUUUUUAUCCUUUUCAGUAAAUAAAAUAAUAAUAAUAAUUAAAAUAAAAUGGUCAAAAAUUGGGUAAUGACAGUUGCCCCCUCUUUAUAAUAUUUACUAUGCAAAGAUAUUGGAAAAUUUUAUUUUCUUUUAGCUUUGUGUAGUAAAUUUAUAAAGAAAAGUAGAUACAGAAAGAACAUUUUUUUUUUUUUAGUCUUGAAAACUUUGAAAACAGUAGAUUGACACACGACCUUUACAGAGAGAUGUAGAAAUCAAGAAACAAGUCAUUUGGAAGACGACCCACUUUUUUUUUUGUUUUUUUGUUUUGUUUUGUUUUGUUUUGUUUUUUUUUUUAGAAGUGGUCUCAUUGUGAUGGGUGACCUACCCAAGUAAAAAAAGAAAUGAAAAUGAGGGCUCGAAGGCGCGCUCGAAAGAAUGUGAGGGCUCAAAGGCGCUCGAAGAAGAAAGGGAGGGCUCAAAGGCGCUCGAGGAAGAAAGCGAGGGCUCAAAGGCGCUCAAGGAAGAAAGCGAGGGCUCAAAGGCGCGCUCAAAGGGAAGCGAGGGCUCAAAGGCGCGCUCGAAGGGAGAAAGCGAGGGCUCAAAGGCACGCUCGAAGGGAAGCGAGGGCUCAAAGGCGCGCUCGAAGAGAAAAGGAAGUGCUCAAAGGCACUCGAAGAGGAAAGAAAGUGCUCAAAGGCACUCGAAGAGAAAAGCGAGGGCUCAAAGGCGCGCUCGAAAAGAAAAGCAAGUGCUCAAAGGCACUGGAAGAGGAAAGCGAGGGCUCAAAGGCGCGCUCGAAGCGAAAAGCAAGUGCUCAAAGGCACUCGAAGAGGAAAGCAAGUGCUCAAAGGCACUCGAAGAGGAAAGCGAGGGCUCAAAGGCGCGCUCGAAGAGAAGCGAGGGCUCAAAGGCAUGCUCGAAGAGAAAAGCAAGUGCUCAAAGGCACUCGAAGAGAAGCGAGGGCUCAAAGGCGCUCUUGAAGAGAAAAGCGAGUGCUCAAAGGCACUCCAAGAGGAAAGCGAGGGCUUAAAGGCGCUCGAAGAGGAAACCGAGGGCUUGAAAGCGCCCUAAAAAUGAUGAUCAAAGGCUCGAGGGUGCAUUUGAAGGGAGGUAAGGCUCGAAGGUGUUCUCGAAAAGGGAGGUAGGGUUAAGAAACGCAAUACCUUGGAUGGUCAAGGGCUCAAAAGCGCACUUGAAAGGAGACAAGGACUUGAAAGUGCCCUAAAAAUGAUGAUCAAAGGCUCGAAGGCGCAUUUAAGGAGGUGGAAAAACAUAGAGAUUUUUCAGAGGGCCUAAUUCUUGUGGGCGGCCUGCCCAGGUUGAAAAAUUUUCAAAAGUGAAAAUUUUUCAAAAGCAAUUUCAAUCCUGGCCAUUUCAAGUUGGCCUUCCACUUGAUGGAUUCCGUUGGAAUUUUCUCUAAUGAGAUUUGCAAAACUUAUUGUCCAAUUUCUCAAAGUUUAGAUGAUAUGCAUGCAUCUUUACCUGAUUUGAAAUAUAGGCCCCCCAUUUCUUCUUUGUCUUCUUGUUGCUUGACUGAUGAGGACUUGCUACCUCUGAUUUGCGUCAUAUUUGUCACUUGGCUUCUAGCCCACUCGAGUUGGCCCAUGGAAGUCUAUUUCCAAAUUUGUUUGCACAACUUAGCCUUUAUGGUGCCCAUCGUGACCCACUUGCUUGCUAGAGAUUUUCUAUCUUGUCAAAUAAUUUGAGAGGAUCAUUCAUUACUCCUCGUCUCGCUACUAAAAAUAUUCGGUGUCACUUGCUGAAAGGAUCAAACUGUCUUUCAUAAACCAAAAUGCCCCCUUGUCUUGUUGUAGGAAAUAUUCCUCUCUUUUUCUAGAAGAGAAAAUACAAUGUUGCCCCUUGUACUGCUCAUUGCCUCCAAGUGUGCUUUGCCAGCGACUGGGACAAAUAAUGGUUUUAAAAGACCAUUCUCUCAUUUCUCUUUUUGUUCAUUUUGGUGAAGGAAUAUGGGUCCAUAAUAAAUCUUGAAAUCUUGAUCUUGCAUUUUGAAAACAAAAAUUGUUUCGAUGUGAGUCUAAAAUAAUUUGCUUUUGAAAUCUUGCAACUCCUUGGUUGUUUUCUUUUUUGGAAAAGAGAUUAUUUGAUCUUGUGUUUGGCAAAGAGGUCUUUUGGUGAAAAUAUGUCAUGAGAUGACCUUUUUGUUUUCAAAGUGAAGGGCUCGAGAAAAAGCUCGAGGUUUUGUUUGAGAAAAACAACUUAUCUCUUUUUAAACAUUCAUUUUUAUCAGCAUGAAUAAUAAUGAGUAGUUUAUUCUUGAUGUCAUGAAUCUUAUGAAAAAGUAUUCUUUGCAUUUUGAGAGCAUUGUUUAUUGUUCUAGGUUGCUUGCUUUCUUGAUUAGAAAGGACUUUUACCGGCACGUAACGUAAGUUGUGGUUUUUUGCUAUGAAAGAAAAUGAUUCGUAAUGCUCAAAGAGUGUUUCAAGGUUUCAAAGACUGAGGAUCACUAUCAACAGUUUGACUCUUGACGUCAUUCACAUUUUCUUUUGCCGCUCUUCUUUAAUUUGCCCUUUGUCAUUGUUUUGGCUAUCACUUUUUCUUGUGAUUUGGGCAUGCCCCCUAGCAUUUGAGUUUCUUGGGCUCUUUAUGCCUUUUUGGCUUUCUUGCAGCUUUUUCUCUUUUCUCAUUGAAAUUUUCUCUUGCCCCCUAGUGUGGGGUGUGAUUCUAGUCGGGAUUUUUUUCAUGAAAGAAAUAUUAUUCAGGCUAAAAAAAGGAUCGCAAGGGAUGUAUUUAUUUCAGAAUGUGAAAGGAAUAACAAAGAUGACCCUUCAUCAUUUCAAGCGCAAGCAGUUAAGAUCAAUAAACCUUGACCUCAUCCAGUGUGUUGGUUUGGUCAUGAGCAACGAGUUCACUACAUACCAUUAUUCAUACAUUUAAAAACACAUGAUUCAAGAGUCAUGGGGUAAGGGUGUUUAUUUCUUUCUUUUUUUUCUUUUUCACAAUAUUUUUUGGUUUAUAAGUUAAUCACCUCAAUGAUGGAGUUGCUUGAUUCACUUGUCAUUCUACAAUUAGAAUGUGAAAAAUAUCAUUUUUGAAUGAACAUCAAAUUAUUUUUGAAAUCAAAAUACCAGAUCAAUUUUUUUUCAAAACUCCAAUAGGGAAAUGGAUUUUGGUACAAGAGAUGAAUUGCAUCUACGAGAUCACGCAAGGCUUCAAAGGUGUAUUCGUGAGUUCUUAUAACAAAACUCUCUUAAUAAUGAUUGGUCGUAAACAUGAUUGAAUGAGAAACUCAUUAUUUCAUUGAAGCUUUGGAAAAGAAACAACAAAGAACUUAUGCCAACAUGAAUAUUAGCAUGAUAACACAUAAAAGGGGCUAAACAUUUAGUAAUCAUUGAUUGGAAUUUCUGGAAUUUUUCAAUCAUUCAUUCUCCUUGACAAAGGCAUCUUUUCAACACUUAGUUGCAGUCACAUGCAGACCAUUCUCGACCUACUAUCACCAUAACCCUAUUGGAAAAUUUGGGCGGAAAACACUUUCCGGAAGUUAUGAAAAAUUUAGAAAUGUUAUUAUUUGUUGAUAUAUCAAAUUUAAUCCUCAAACUUUUGAUUGCUAUAUAUAAUUUGUUUUGAAUAUUUAUUUUUCAAUUCCAUUUCUUAAAAUUUAAUUUUUAUAUUAAUUUUGCUCCUUAUUUUUAUAAUAUUUAUUUGCUUUUUCCUUAUCAUUUUUUUAUUGAAAUUUUUUAUCUGUCAAAUUUGGUCCUCAUUCUUUUGAUUGUUACUUAUUUUAUUUGAAAUAAUUUAUGAAAUGUUAAUUAUUAUUAUUUUAAUUUCUUCACCUUUCAUUUUUUUAAAAUUUUUAGAUUUGAUUUCUAUUAUUUUGAUUAUUAUUUAUUUUAUUUGAGAUAAUUUAUGAAAUUGUAUUUUUUUUCAAUUUCAUUCUCAUUCAACUUUUUAAUUUGUAAGAUUUGUUCCUCAUUAUUUUAAUAAACUUGAGAAAAUAAAACAUUAAUAAGUUAUUUUCCAGCUCAUUUUCCAUGACAUAACCAAACACUGGAAAAUGUUUUCCAACUUAUUUUCCAUUACACUACCAAACAUCAGAAAAUACUUUCCCGGAAUUCAUUUUCCCCGAAAUUCACUUUCCAAAAAGAAACUACUUUCCAGCAAACAAACGGGGCCUUAAUUUUUUUUUCUCCUUUCAAGUGAAAAAAAAAAAAACAAAGAGCACCAAGAAAAUCUAAUCAGAAAUAUUUUUUUUUUAGUCUGAAAUAUUUUAUGUUGUUGUCUUGGAGAGAUGCAGAUACCGAGGAACAGUUGUGGGGCCACCAUUGGUGAGCAGUGAUACAGUGGCAAGUACGUGAAGUAACGCAUAUUACAGUGCGCAAUGAUAGAGUGAGUCUGGGUGGACAAACUUUUGGUGGUACACGUGGUGCGUAAUGAUUUGACGGCUAUGGAGAGAAGUUACAUGAGGGAAAUAAGAUGAAAAAAGUGGCCUCUCUAGAUUUUGGAAAUGUUCUCUGAAGAAAGAAAGAAAAUAAUCUCAAGGGUGGACAAAAAUGGGGUAAUAUCAGAUUUGGAACAUAAUCUUGGUGAAGAAUAACAUAAUCUAAGGAGAAAUCUAGGGCAAGCCCAGUGAGAUUUGAGCUUAGAUUUUGGACCAAUUUAUAGCUGGAUAAUACCAUCAUGGAUGAUGUCCAGCUGAUAAAUGUUUAGUUACUUGCAAUUCUAUCAUAAAGUUAUCAGAUUCUGUGUGUGUGAGGCUGCCAUAAAUUUCUUUCUUCUAUGAUGGAUAAAAAACGCUAAGCAAUGAACCAUUUUGUCAACCUAGUAAAAAAGGUAUUAUGGUUAUGAUGAGAACUCUACAGCCUGUGAUUCUAUUUUUGAAGGUAUUCUUAUUAUAUUUAUAAUUAUAAGAAUAUUUUAAAAAAACAUGGGUAAAAUAUUAUUCUCACAUCACUAUUUACUGGUCUUAUAGACUUAAAUUCAUAGAUAAUUAAGUAAAUUUGUUGAGGAAAAGCAAAAUUUAACUAUAGAUAAUCAAAGUGAAAAAAAAAACCUCAAAAAAAGAUGGUAGUUUCAAGAUUAAAGCCAAAAAUUCACUUUGAUUCUCAUACUUUUCAGAUAAUGACUUUUUGGUCCCUUAAGUUUUCUCACAUUUUAUUUUUGAUCCACAACUUCAUUUUUCUAUAUUCUCAUUCCCUAAUUUGAUAGAGGAGACAAAAAGUUAUUGGAUUACAAUGUUAGAGAGAGUCUCUGUAACAGCCUCAACAUUUGUAUUCAAAACAAAGAGCAAGGACAUGAUGAUUCAAAUAAGAUUAUGGAAUUUUUUUUUGUAAUCAAUAAAAAAUUCAGCAGAGUUUUUUUUAUAUUUUUAGAUACUAAGUUAUCGACUUUUCAUCUACAAUCCUCAAUUAUCAAAUUUCUUACUCAUCCUAUCAUCCAGAACUUCCUCCUCUCAUUACAUCACAACUUCUCAAUAAUCAAAUUCACAUGUCUAAAUAAUUCAAUAUCCCACAUUUACAUGGAUGCAAUCCAAAGAAUUAUUAUACAAAUUAUAACUGAAGUACAUUACACAAUUCUAAGAUUUACAAAUAAGGACCAUUAACGAAAUUAUAAUAGAAAUAAGUAUAUAAUUAAAGAAGAAAUUCAUAAUUAAGAUUAUACUACACAAAAGAGCUUUCGAUAAACUGUUGACGCAUUAUAUUACAUAACAAAAUGAUAAAUUCAUUCAUUACAAAAAGAUACCCAACAAAAUAUAAGAAAACUAAUCUACUGUUCAACCCGAUAAGGGGAUGUACCUGAAAAUUGAUUUAAUACAAUAAUUCAAUUAGACAGAUGAAAAAAGAUAUCCUGCUUUCUUUCUUUCUUCCUUUUUUUUUAAAAAAAAAAUUAGUCAAAAGAUCAUUAAAUUAACUUGCUCAUGUAGUAUUUAUAUAUAUAUAUAUAUAUAUAUAUAUAUAUAUAUAUAUAUAUAUAUAUAUAUAUCAAUUAAAUUUCAGAAUAAUCUAUGAGUUUGAGUUUGUUUUCUUUUUCUUUUUUCUUUUUUAAUAUCAACAAAAAAUAUAAUUAUUCCUAUCACUCAAUUAACCCGACAUUACUUUCACUAAUAGAUGAUUAAUUUUCCACCAGUCUAUUCAACAAACACUAUUGUCAUCAAUCCAAAAAUUAGUUUAACGUUUCAUCCAUUCAUCAGGUACAAAUCUCAUUAACCAAGAAAAUUAAUUCUUCAUCUCGCCUAUUUGUCAGGGCACUAAUUCCAUUAAAUCAGGAAUUAGUUCAACGAUUUACCCAUUCACUAGGGUACUAAUCCCAUUAACCAAAGACUUAAUUCCUCAUCAUGCCCAUUCACCGGGACAUUAAUCCCAUUAAUUUAGGAAUUAGUUCAACGAUUUGCCUAUUCACCAGGGUUCUAAUCCCAUUAACUAGAGAAUUAAUUCCUUAUCACGCCCAUUCACCAAGGCAUUAAUCCCAUUAGUUCAAGAAUUAAUUCAUCACAUCGCAUAUCUUAUUUUCUAAUAUAAUAAUUUCAUAUUUAUCAACCAUAAUUAAUGAAAUAAAAAUACAUAUUGACCAAUAAUAAAUUCAGGUACCGUGUAAUUACCUGAUGACUAAGCUCGAGCUGAAAUUUCCUGCUGUGGUGUCGGCCUGGCAGCCUCUCUUGAAUUGACAAGUAUAUCACAUCAUUAUUCUACUUUUCAUAUUAAAAUACUCAAUAAAUAAAAUCAUUCCAAUUAUCCUUUUAUUUGCCAAAAUAAAAUCAUUUUGUAAAUUUCCUUCCUAUUCUUUCAAUUUCCACAUUGUAACACAAUUCAUUUCAUCAUUCAAAUCAAUAUAUAUAUUCUUUAAAUUUAUUUAUUUAAUUUUUACAGUAAUUUAAAUCAAAGAAAAACAUAAAAAAAUUUCAUGAUCUAUUCACUCUUUAACAUUAAUAUCAUCUCUUUCUUACACAAUCUCAUCAUCUUAUCAAAACUCUUAAAUUUUUAUUUUUCUUAUUAUUAGUUUUCCAAAAAUCACUUCUUCAAGAACACCUAAAAUUUUGCUUUAAUUACCAUAAUUUCUUACUUUCCCUACUCACUUCAAUAAUCUUAACACAAUUUCACAAUCAAUUGUAAUUUUCUCUAAAAUUUAUCAUGAACCCUAAUUCCUCAUUUCACAAAGUUCAAUCAAUUUAAAGCAUAAAUUCUUCGAGAAUCUUAUUUAAAAGUGUGAGGACAUCUUACCAAGCAAUAACCAAAGCUUUAACACUUUUAAAUUGAGAAAUUUUCCUUGCUUGAAUUUGUUUUUCCUCUCCUGGCCGAAUGCUUCUUUCUCUUUGAAAAAGCAAGUUUUUUUUUUUUUGUUUCCUUAUAUCACACACUUACUUGCACUCAUAUAUAUAUAUAUAACUCUUUUUUUAAAUACCUUCCACAUCCCUCAAUUUUUUCUUUCCCCCUACACACAUAUAAUUACUUAACUUUUUAAAAAUACCUUCUAUAUUCCUUAAUAGUAAAUUUUAUGAUUUUUGGGUAAAAUUUCUUGAAUCCUAAUGCCUGUUUAUACCAAAUUUUAUCCAGGUUAUUUCAAAUUUCACUCAGUUACUCGUUAGUAUUUUCAGUUUCAUGAAAUUCAUUUCCAUAAAAAUUUUAUUCACAUUUUCAUGUUUAUUUAUUUAUAUUUAUUUUUUAUAUAUAUUUUAACACCCGAACAAAACAUUUCAAUUCAGAUUCUCGAAUAUAUCAUCAUUCUUAUAAUUUAAUUUAUCACUUUUCCUCAUUUUUUUUAAUCUUAACUUUUAUUAAUAUCAAUAAUAUUACCCGGGGUUUUACAGUCUCAGUUGGCACUGAUUUUUGCCAUAAAAAAUGGUUGAUUUUAAUGAUUUUUUUUAAUAUCUAUAUGUUUUUUAUAUAUUUUAUAUGAAUAAACUUUAUUUUCAUGACGUGUUUAUAAAAAUAAGAAUUAUUUGUUCUUGGUAAGAAAAAGUGACCUUUAAGAUUAAAAAGAAGAAAAGGAGAAAAGUGACCUUUAAGAUUAAAAGUAUCUGCUCGAAAAAACCAUUCAACAUAAGAUUGCUCUGCUAGGAAAACAUGAUAUCAGUAUCAAACUUUUGAACAAAGAGUUCAGCAUCAAGUCUCAGUCAUCUGGAGAUUUGAAUGCCCAAAUAUAUUCACAUGCUCAUACAAUAACAUUUUAAAAAUGCAUUAUGCAAUAGAAACAGAACAUCAAACUGACAGAGAAAACAUGCUGAUGCAGAAAAUACUCAAGUCGUAGAAAGGAGAACGCAUGAAAGUCCACACAUUAAACCAAAAGAAACACAAAUGGGCAAGCAAACAUGCGCCCUUACUUCUGGAGGCUUGUACGAUAAUGGGCAAGCAACAUUGUUUUUUUGAGGUUCGCACAGUAAUGACUAAAUACACAACAUGACAUUACUCCUGUGCUGUCAACAAUUCUUCUAACUUCUUCAGCAAUGUGAAGCCAAUUUGUAUCCCAUUGCCAAUGGAACAGUUGGAAUUAUUUCCCACCAAAUCUAAAACAUAUUCGCAGCACCAACCUUGAAAUCAUGUAACAGUUAACCACCAUUCAACAUGAGAUUGUUCUGCUAGGAAAACAUGAUAUCAAACUUUUGAACAAAUAGUACAGCAUCAAGUCCAAAUAUAUUCACAGCUCAAAGACAUGAGUCUCCAUCUUCUUUCCACCCCAUAUUUCUGGUCCACUCUCUAUUAAUGCUUGAAUCUUCAGCUACUUCAGGUACCUGUAAACCAAUUCAAGCAUGGCAUGCUCAUUUAACUUGUAAUCUUAUUAUUGAGAGAAACAAGAAACAAACAUACUAAAAGAGAGGCAAGAAAUCAAGUCAAAUCAGCAGCACCUCUGAUUGAGCACUCAUUGAACCAUCUGGUGUAGUAGCAAAUUUUGUGGUCAGCUUUGGACAUUGAUGGACCUUCAACUUCUCCAAACGAGGGAAUAAGAAAUAAUCACACCAUCCGAAACUAAAACAGACAAUACUUGAUAAUUGUUCUAGCGACAACUCCUUUAGAUUAGGAAGCACUAUCUCCUUCUCAACGUUGAUAGGUGAAGCUUGACCAUCCUGCUCAGGAGACUCUGGAAUUAUUUCCCUUUCACCAUCCUCUUCUCUGAUAAUAUGCUUCAAUUGACCGCAUUUACUUAUGUAAAGUCUUUGUAGCUUUGGCAGACUUCGAGCGAGGGACGGUGUGAAGAUAAAUGUCAGUUUGUUGAGAGACUCCAAAUUCAGACGAUUAAGACUUUGGAGGCUGACAUGUCUAGAUUGUUGUAUUAAACUCAAUCCAUCCAGAAGGUCAAGGAAGGCAGCCACCAGCUGUCACCGCCCAGCCACCAACCGGCCAGCCGCCAGCCACCAGCUGUUUGCCGCCACAGCCGCCAGCCGCCUUCACACUUGAAGGUUGAAUUUUCUUGUUUUGAAUUCGUGUAUAAAUAGCAAGCUAAGCUUAUGUUAUUCUGUGUGGAGAGAGUAGAGAGAAACACUAGAGAGAAAGAGAGAGGGCGUGUAUUGUGUUAAGCUUUUGUGUUAAGUAAUUGUAAGCUUUUGUUCUUGAAAUAAAACAGUGUGUUUUAUCCCCUCCGAGUGUUUCAAAGCCACCACCAGUGGUUUCUCCCACCAACAAUUGGUAUCAGAGCCCCGUUCGUCAGAAAACAGAAGUGUUUUGGGAGAUAUCCGAAUUUUCAAAGUUGUCAAAAACAAGUUUUGAUCAUUCCAUUGUAUAGAGCUCAUCCAUACGAACUCACUGCCGCAAAAAUCAGCUCAAUCGGACACCGGGGUGAGCCACACGCGCCGCCUGAAGAUCCGGUGACUGUAGCCCAGUCUCACCCACGCGCGCCAGAGGAAGAAGACGAGUGACGUCCACGCGCGCCAUAUUUGAGCCGUUAAGCCGAGCCGAGCCGAGCUGCAAGCCAAGCCUCCAGCCGCGCCGAAGAAUAUUCCCAAGAAUAUUCCCUUUUCAAGCCGAGCCGCUAUUAGCCGAAGCCGAGCCGAUAGAAUAUUCCACAGAAUAUUCCCGGUUCAACCCAGCAAACCGCCCGACGCCCAGAAUUGGUUUUUUGACCGGUUCACCCAUUUUCUGACCUGAUUUCUACAAAGUCAAACCGGUUCCCGACUAUUUCGACCAUUCCGGAUCGAUCUACAAUGUCGGUUUUGCCAAAUUCAACUCCCAGAAGGAGAUAUAGUCAUUAAAAGAGCAAAAUGACUACAGAAAGUACACAAACACUCAUCCCGAAGCUGACCAAAGACAACUAUGAUAGUUGGUGCAUAAGAUUAAAGGCAUUUCUUGGUUCACAAGAGUGUUUGGAGAUUGUACACUAUGGUUAUGAUGAACCAGAGUCUAAAGAAGAAGAAGAUGCUUUACAAGAGGCACAGAAGCAAGCCCUGAAAGUCAACAGAAAGAAGGACAACAAAGCAAAGACCAUCAUCUACCAAGGUCUUGAUGAAGAUACAUUCGAGAUCAUAGCUUCCGCUGAAACAUCAAAAGACAUAUGGGAGGCUCUCCAACAAAAAUACAAAGGUGCUGACAGAAUCAAGAAGAUUCGUCUUCAAUCUUUGCGAGGUGAAUUUGAGUUAUUGCAAAUGAAGUCCUCAGAAUCUAUUUCUGAUUAUCACACAAGGAUUAUGGUGAUAGUCAAUCAGAUGAGGAGAAAUGGAGAAGCCAUCAUAGAUUCUCGAAUUACUGAGAAAAUUUUGAGAUCCCUAGAUCCAAAAUUUGAUUUUGUUGUUGUCGCUAUUGAAGAGUCCAAGGAAGUGGACAAGUUGACAGUUGAUGAGCUUAUGAGUUCUUUGCAAGCUCAUGAGCAGAAGAUUGUAAAGCGAAAUGGAGAUAAGGCCAUCGAGCAUGCCUUACAAGCAAAGAUGUCUCUCAAGGACAGAUAUGAGCAAGGGGAGACUUCAACAAGUGGAUAUACCACUCAAGCAGGAAGUCAACAAUCCAGAGGAGGAUUCCAGAGAUUCCAAGGAAGAGGUUCUUGGAAUACAAGCUUUAGAGGAAGAGGUGGUAGAAACACCACCAGAGGAGGUAGAGGACAGCAAGCAUUCACUCCUAGAGGAAGAGGAGGCGGUUACAAUAACCGUGACAAGAGGAAUAUCCAAUGUUAUAGUUGCAAUCAAUUUGGGCACUAUAGCACUGAAUGCAGAAGGAAAGCUCCGUUGGAGAUACGUGAGCAAGCCAACUAUGCAGAGAAGGAUGACAUAGAAGCUGCAUUUCUUGUCCAACAAGAACUUGGCGAGAAACAGGAAAAUAUAUGGUAUCUAGAUACUGGAGCCAGCAAUCACAUGUGUGGCUACCGAGAGUUAUUUAGUGAUCUAGAUGAGACCAAGCAAGGUCUAGUUACUUUUGGAGAUACCUCAAAGGUUCCAUUCAAAGGUAAAGGCAGCAUCCCAAUCAAGUUGAAGAACGGCGAUUCCAGCUACAUCGCCAAUGUUUAUUAUGUCCCAGCCAUAAAGCAGAACCUGAUCAGCUUAGGUCAACUUUUGGAGAGAGGAUAUACUUUUUACUCGAAGAAUUGCCAUCUGACAAUUAGAGACAACAAUUGGAGAUUAAUGGCCUAUGUGAAAAUGUCCAAGAAUAGGAUGUUUCCUUUGAACAUCCAGUAUGAUGCAGCAAGGUGUUUGAGUGCCAUCACCAACAGUGAAGAAUGGCUCUGGCACCUGAGGCUUGGACAUCUGAAUUUCACGAGCUUGAAGAUGCUAGCAAGCAAGAAGAUGGUCAAAGGUAUGCCUCACAUUGAUCAUCCAGAUGAAGUCUGUGAGAGUUGUGUCCUCAGCAAACAUCACAGAUCCAGUUUUGCCAAAGAAGUCAACUGGAAAGCAAAGAGGCCACUGGAGUUAGUACACACAGAUGUGUGUGGCCCAAUAACGCCUAUGUCGACUGGACAGAAUAGGUACUUCCUCACUUUUAUUGAUGAUUUUAGUAGAAAGACGUGGAUAUACUUUCUGAAGAGGAAGUCAGAAGUAUUCAAUUGUUUUAAAGAUUUUAAAGCAAUUGUGGAGAAGCAAAGUGGUUACAUGAUCAGAACAGUGAGAUCUGAUCAAGGUGGAGAAUAUACAGCAAAUGACUUUGAAGCCUUCUGUACACAACAAGGCAUCAGACAUCAAACAACGCCUGCUUAUACACCACAGCUGAAUGGUGUAGCUGAAAGGAAGAAUCGCACGAUUCUUGACAUGGCAAGAAGUCUGCUCAAAGCAAAGAAGUUGCCCAAGCAAUACUGGGCUGAAGCUGUAUCAUGUGCAGUGUAUCUACUGAAUCGCUGCCCAAACAGAAGUUUGCAAGGUGUCACUCCAGAAGAAGCUUGGAGUGGUCACAAACCAAGUGUUACUCAUCUACGAGUCUUUGGUUGUGUGGCAUAUGCAAAGAUCCCAGAUGCAAGAAGGAGAAAACUCGAUGAUAAAAGCGAGAGAUGCAUCUUUGUGGGAUAUGGUGAAAGAAGGAUGGGAUACAAGCUGUAUAAUCCCAUCACGAAGAAGGUGAUUAUGAGUAGAGAUGUUAUCUUUGAAGAAGAUAAAUCUUGGGAAUGGACUGAUAAUAAAGAAGCAGUUAGAUGGAUCAACAUUGAUUUGAUCCUUGAAGGUGAAGAAGUACCAACAGUACUUGUCGAAGAACCGAUUGUGCCAGCAGCUGAACCACAAAGUCCGGUGAUUAUACCAGCAGCUGAACCACAAAGUCCAGUACACAGAUUCCCUGUAUUCAACAGGAGGAACACACCAGGAGCAUCAUCAUCAACACCAGCAGCAGCAUCCUCGUCAGAAGGACCAAGAAGGAUGAGAAAUCUUGACGAGUUGUACGAUGCCACGCAAGUCAUCGAAGAUACAACUCUAUUUUGUUUCUUUGCAGACAAUGACCCACUUAGCUUCAACAAAGCUAUCACAGAAGAGAAGAUAGAAGCAAUGGAUAAAGAAAUGCAUGCCAUUGAGAAGAAUGAUAUCUGGAAGCUGACUUAUCCACCAGAAAGCAAGAAAGCAAUAGGUGUCAAAUGGGUCUAUAAGAAAAAGAAGAAUGCAAAAGAAGAAGCGCAAAAAUACAAAGCCAUUGAAGAGGGAAACAUUUAUCAGAAUGAAGUUCAUGCUUGGCAUGACAUCCCUCGAUUGAGUUUAAAGGGGAGAUUUGUUGUAUUAAACUCAAUCCAUCCAGAAGGUCAAGGAAGGCAGCCACCAGCUGUCACCGCCCAGCCACCAACCGGCCAGCCGCCAGCCACCAGCUGUUUGCCGCCACAGCCGCCAGCCGCCUUCACACUUGAAGGUUGAAUUUUCUUGUUUUGAAUUCGUGUAUAAAUAGCAAGCUAAGCUUAUGUUAUUCUGUGUGGAGAGAGUAGAGAGAAACACUAGAGAGAAAGAGAGAGGGCGUGUAUUGUGUUAAGCUUUUGUGUUAAGUAAUUGUAAGCUUUUGUUCUUGAAAUAAAACAGUGUGUUUUAUCCCCUCCGAGUGUUUCAAAGCCACCACCAGUGGUUUCUCCCACCAACAUAGAUGGCCCCUUCCAUAUACAUUUGAGCUCAGGUAAACAUGACAGCCGUAACUCUGUUAAAGAUGACAGAAGCGGUAGCUCCUUCUCCUCACUACUUCCUUCAUCAGGCUCACCUAAUUCAAAUACCUCUUCCAAUGAUUUACAGCUGUCAACAAUCACCUCCUCUAGAUUGUUCAAAGCUCGGAGCAAUUUUGCUGGAAACGGAGUGCGAACAUCCCCACAAUCGUCCACUCGUACAAAUUCUAAUCUUUGUAAGAAGCCGUUUUGCUGCCCAUGGACGACCAUCUUAUCAGAGAACAAUAUUAUAUUUUUUCACUCAUAAAAACAAUUUAUAUGAUGAGAGAAAAAAAAAAAAACAGGAUUACAUACUUUUUAGAGAUUACAUAUUAUUGUUUCAGUUUUUUUCUUAAUUAGAGAUAAGUUAAAUAAUAAUUAGAUUUUUGCGAAAAAAGGUUACUACAACUCCUAAUAAUUAGUUUCAUGUAAAAAAUAAAAAUAAAAAUAGUAACUAAUAUUUUUAUUUUAGUUAUAAAGUUAAUAAAUUUUUAAAGAUAUUUUAAUUGAAUUAAAUAUUUGAACACAAAAUAAGCUAAUAUGAUUUCUAUGAUUAAUUGUUGGUAUUAAGUUUCUUAUAUUUAUAUAUGUUUAGAUAAAACAAAAAAAUAAGCAGUGACGAAGAAAGAAUAAAUCUAACAGAUAAUAUAAAUUACGUAAAUCAUGAGGCAGUUAAAUCUAACAGAUAAUAUAUUUCAAAUGAGGCAGUCAAAUCUAACAGAUAAUAUAUUUCAAAUGAGGCAGUCAAAUCUAACAGAUAAUAUGUUCUUCCAUAUGAUUAAUUUUUAAUAACGCAGACAACAAUGAGGCAGUUAAGUUUUUUAUAUUUAUAUAUGUUUACAUAAAAAAAUAAAUCAUAAAAAAAUAAAAAUAAGCAUUUAUCAAUUACUUUACUUUUAGAAAUUGGGAGGAAGAAAGAAUAAAUUAUCGCAAUUGACAAUUUAAUUUAGUGGAGAAAUAUAAAUUACGUACUUGUAGCUGUGCCAACCAAUUACCCACUUCUUCGUGGCCUUCAAUGGUUAAUCUUUGCAAGGGCAAUUGAGCAUCAAAAUUCCUUGGACCUAAAAAGCUGUAAUUAGAUUGGAGCCAAAGAGAAAAUUCUCUUAGCCGAGGGAACUUGAUGAUGCCAUCUCUGGUAAGUGCAUCUCCUUCUCCACCGUAAAAUAUUUGCUUUAAAUUGUCAGCACGAGCAAUCCUCAUCUGUUCCAGGUUCGUAAGACUUGGAGACAUGGAGACAGGGAAGACAUAUUCCAGUGAAAAACAGAAAGAUAUGUUGAUUUUUUUUAAUUUUGGGAAGCGAGGAGACUCUGGAAUUAUUUCCCUUUCACCAUCCUCUUCUCUGAUAAUAUGCUUUAAUUCACCGCAUUCAUUUAUGCGAAGGCUUUCUAGCUUUGGCAGAUUUCGAGCGAGGGACGGUGUGAAGAUAAAUGUCAGUUUUUUGAGAUCUGAAACUUUCAGAUGAACAAGAUUUUGGAGGCUGACAUGUCUGGUGGGCCCCUUCCAUAUGCAUUUGAGCUCAGGUAACUCUUGCAGCUUUAACAGUGUUAAAGAUGACAGCAGCUCCUUCUCCUCACUGCUUCCUUCAUCAGCCUCACCCAAUUCAAAUACCUCUUCCAAUGAUUUACAGCUGUGAACAAUCACCUCCUUUAGAUUUUUUAAACCUUGCCGCAAUUUUGCUGGAAACAGAGUGAAAACAUCCUCACAAUCCCUCACUUUUACAAAUUCUAAUUUAUGUAAAAACAAUUGCUCAAAUGUCUUCGCAUUGAAGGAUGUACCAGCCAAAAUUAAUCUUGUCGAGGUUGGGUAUCGUCCUGCAUCAAACCGAUUCCCAAAUAUUAUAUCAUAUUUGCGCAAGCUAACUGGAAAAACAAAAUCUCUGGGAAUGCAUUCAACCUUCGGUAUCCACAAUGAUAAUACGGCUAACUGAGACAACGAAUUUAGUUCUGUUAGGCUUGCAUUCAUUCCUCCUGUGCUGUCACAUCCAACAGCAUCCCAUCCCUGAAAGCUGCGAUCCCCGAUCAACAGCUCUUCUAACUUCUUCAACCUUCCAAUCAAAUUCACAGGGAUCCUUCUUAGCCUUUCACAACCUGUCACAUCCAACAACCUUAACUCCUUGAGCUCUCCUAUUUCAUCAGGUAAUUCUUCAAUGGAUAAGCACCGUCUAAGACCAAGAAUCUUAAGUCUCUGCAGCUUUCUCAACCCAAUGAGGUCCUUGCAUCCACACCUGAUCAACACCAACGAUUGAAGUUUCGUUGAGAGUUCAAGUGAUUGCAAUGACAAGCACCCUCCCUUCAGAGACAAAACUUCAAUUUCUGUCAUCCCUUCAAAAAACCUCUGAGGAACAUUCAAACCAGAAUCCACUUCCAAUAAUAGAACUUUGAGCUGUGGGCAUACCAAUCCUUCAGGAAGUUCUGCUAGUUUAUUGCCCAUUAACGAAAUUGUUGUACAACCUUCAAAGCUUUUACCCGUCCAUUGCCAAUUCUCUAACCCUAAGCCAGCCUUGACCAUGAAUCCAUAUUCUUUUGAUGCUAUCUGAAUAGCAACAUCACGAACAAGGUCAUGCAUUUUCACAUGUUCUUCAGUUUCAGAGCCCAACAGCAUGCAACAAUCUUUGAGGUUUUCGAUUGCCACAGAAACUCGUUUCCUUGCAUCUUCAAUGGGCUCCGCAUCUUGAUGUAACCCAUAGCCAACUGCAUAUCUCGUCAAGUCCUCGAUUGGAAUGUCAUAAUCUUCUGGAAAUAAACAGCAUAGCACGAAACAUGACUUGGUUUCCUCGUACUUCAAAUAAUCAUAGCUCAACUUAAGACAUGUGUAAGCAUUAUUUUGUUCAUCAAUUUGUUCCAUGCGCACAAAUUGAGAUUCUUUGAGCUGUUUAGACGCUACUUCCCACUGAACUCGUGAUUUACCUCUUAGAGCCCUUCCCACUGUCACAAGUGCUAUAGGCAAGCCUUGGCAUUCUCUCGCAACCUCCCUUGCCACUGUGUUCAAGGUAGAGUCCCCAUCACGUAAACCUGCAUUGAUACUGAAUAAAUCCCACGCUUCAUCUUCAGGUAAGACUCUUAAAUGCACUUUUUGCUGGCACUCCAUAGAAAAACAUAUGCCUUGAACACGUGUUGUUAGAAGAAUUUUACAACCCCUGUGAUCAUCACCAAAUGGGAUCCCUAUCUCUUUCAAGUCAAUAUGUUUCCAAACAUCAUCCAGGGUUAUAAGCAUCUUCUCCACUUUCUUCAGUCUCUGCCGUAAUCGAUCUGCUCUCCCUUCUUUACUGUUUUCUUCAAUUUUCAAACCUAACAUAUCUGCCAUUCGGUUCUGAAUGUCUAUGACAUUUGGAUUCUGCGACACCGUAGCCAUCAAAACUUCAUCAAAAAGCUGCGACUCUCUGGCUAUCGUGCCUACUCUUUUCACCAGGGUGGUUUUACCCACCCCUCCCAUGCCGUACAGUCCGAUCAUAUUGGCGUUGUCAUCUUUGCGAGCUUUCAUAAUCUGUUCCAAAGCUUCUUUUGAAGAUUCUGAGGGCGUGAAUUCCUUUGAUGGAAGAAAUUCUAUGGGCUGAGGAGGAAAUUUGUGGGCCACUUUUGUAAACUUUGUUUCUGAAAGUCUCCGACUCCUUGGCCAGUGCCUUGCUUAACUUGAAUUGUCGAAUGCAGUUUGGACACCAAGUGAAGCAUUUGCCAUUUUUUCCUAUUUCUUUUUCCAAGGGCUUCGCACCUUCAAUUUUGCUGUUUGCAUCUUCCAUCCACUUUUUGACACCUUUCUUAAUUUCUUCAGCAUUCCUUUCAGCAGCUUCGACUUCUUUUUGCAGACCAUCUAGUGCUAAAGCAAGGUUCUCCUUUUGUUCUUUGAAUUCUUCAACAAAAUUGUUGAAACAGAACAUGUAACGGAACUGCCUUCCUACUGGUUCCACCAUGAGUUCUGCUAUCUUAGAUAUAAUGGAUCCACCCACACUUUCGAGAGCCAUUUUCCACCAGUCUGAAAAUCAGAGAAAUGAGGAUACAGGACGUGAGAGUGAGUCACUACAAGUAAAACAGGCGCAGAGAGAAUGGGAAUAGGAAUUCCAUUACCGUAAUUUGGGAAAAUAUGCGCGGAAAGCACUGGUACUGAGAGCUCAAUGAAAUAGCGGGAGGAAGAAAAGGAGAAGGCCUUUAGCUCUGUAUGGAAUCCAGCUUCAAAAGCAACAAGGCAAGGUAUAAGGAUUCUAACUGACACUUGUGAGUUAAAGCAGUAAUUCCCAUUAAAAAUGCAUUUUGAUGACAUAAUUAAGAUCAUAUUGAGACAGUGGCAAACAAAAAAUAAAUGUAUAAAAGUACUCACCUAGCAAAGAAAGAAACGAAUGAAAGGUUCAGGAUAAUCACUUAGCUCGCUUCCAACAACAAAUAUAAUUAAUUAAUCUAAGCUAUGAUCGGUCAAAGUUUUUUUUAGUUUUAUUCUUUUUUUAAAAAAAAAAAAACAGGAAAAAACUUGCAAAGAAAUAGAAUUACUGGAAUGAACACAAUAAAAGAUGAAACUCAAGCAAUUAAAAAUAAAUUAUCUAUGAUGAUCAUGUCUGUGUCACACUCAAUGAGGUAAUCACUAUUACAAUAUUAAAUAAAUAAAUAAAAGCUAAAAGAACUAGGUUUUUGGUGGCAUCCAGAGUGCGGUUACUUUCUUCAUCCUUCUUUUGUGGUUUUAUUUUAUUUCAGUCCUUCAAAUCUUUUUCUUUUGCUAUUUCAUCGAGUUGCUUUGCUCUUGAGUUGAUGUGCUUGCCCUAGAAUAUGCAUUAUGCUAGGGAUUACAAUUACAUUACAUAAGAAAUUAUACUUACAGAUUAUAAUUAAAAUUUUCAGUUUUUUUUAAACAAAUUUAUGAGAAAGUACCAAUAUUACAACGUGAGUAAAUGAUAGGAGAAUUUUAAAUCUUUUUGUGACAUGGUGACCAGCUGAUCCAAGUAACCAAUAGAUUAUCGCCACUUGUUCAACCUGAUCUGCACUUUAAGAUAGGGGUAGUCAUAACUAUUCCUCGUUUUGUUUGAGGAAAAAUAAUUUUUUUAAAAAUAAAUUUUAAAUUUUUCUAUAUUUAUUUGCUAUUAAAAAAAUUAAUCAAUAAAAAAUAUUUUUUAGUAAAAAAAAUUAGUUUUAUUUUUUAAAAAGUAUUUUUCUUUUAUUUUAGGCGGAAAAUACUUUCCAGAAAUUGUGAAAAAUUUAGAAAUAUCAUAUUAUUUGUUGAUUAUAACAAAUUGGAUCCUCAAACUUUUAAUUGCUAUAUAUUUUGUUUUGAAUAUUUUUGUUUUCAAUUUCAUCUGUUAUAAUUUGAUUUUAUAUUAAAUUUGAUCCUUAUUUUUAUGAUUGUUAUUUGUUUUUCUCUUUUUAUUUUUUUAAUUGAAAUUUUUUAUUUAUCAAAUUUGAUCAUCAUUCUUUUGAUUGUUAUUUAUUCUAUUUGAAAUAAUUUAUGAAUAGAGGGAGAGGUUGUUGGAGGCAGAAAAGGAAAGACUACGAUACUAUUUUUCUCUAUAUUUUGAGUUUUAGUUGUUAACAGCCAUGCUCGUUUGAUUUUAUUUUAUUUUUAUUUAUUUUUUUCAUGCUCUUGCAGAUAAGGCAGGAAAGGAGGACCUGAAAUCACGACAGCGAAUAAGGAGAGAAAUAGCGUGUUUGUUUUUUAUUUUUGAAAUUAUUUUUUUAUAAAAUUAUUUUUUUAUUCUAAAUUAAUUUUUUGUAUUUUUAAAUUGAUAUUAAAAAUAAUUUAAAAAAUAAAAAAAUAUAUUAUUUUAAUAUAUUUUUAAAAUAAAAAAUAUUUUUAAAAACAACUACUUAUUCAAUCACUUAAAAUAAAAACCUUAAAAUCACGGCAUGAUAAAAGGAGGAAGAAAGGAAUGGGACAAAGGAGGAAGAAAAUAAGGUCACGUAUAAAAUAGAAGAUGAAAAUUAGUAUGAAAAAGAGGCUAUUUGUUUUUUUAAUGUGUCAGAGUGGUUUUUAUAAUUAUAUUUAAUUUAUAAAAAUAUUAAAUUAAUAUAUUUUUAAAUAUUUCUUGUUAUUAUUAUAUAUAUAUAUAUAAUAUUCUAAUAUUUUUUUAAAUAAAAAAUUAUUUUAAAAAAAUAUGUGUCACAAUACUAAAUUAUAGUACAAAUUAAAAUAUAAAAGAGUUUUCUAUUACUAUUUACCAAGACUUAUUUUGUUGUGGAUGUGGAUAUUAAUAGUGAAUUUUUUUAAAAUUUUCAAUUUGAUAUUUGAAUUUUUUUUUUUCAUAAUCGAAUCUCUUUAUGCCCAAAUUAAAACUCAAUUGCAUUUUGUUUUUUAAGUAUAAGAGUUGAAUUCAAAGAUAGAUGACUGAAAUGAAAAACUUGGUAAAAAUAUGCGGCGACAUUGUAAUUGUUUGCAAAGUUCAUUUUAGUCCCUUAUCUUUUUGAGCUACUAAGUAACAUGUCCCUAUAAUUUCUCAACAUUACAUUUUAUCCAGAAUCUCAGAUUAUGCUCUACGGACUAAACUAAAUUUUUCAUAAAUUGAGAGACCAAACUGAAAUUUAUCAUUUUCAAUCUUAAACCUAGAAUUUUCACAUAUCACCUACUGAUAUAACAAGAUUUCUAACUCAAAUUCACCAUUUAAACAAACCAUAACUCAAAAUCAUCAUUUUUACUUAAAGUCUUUCAAAAUCAACUAAAUAACUCAUUAUUCAUAACAAUCAACACAUAAUAUUCAAAUCAAUUCAUCAAUCAAACCCAAAACACAAUCUUCAAAACUCUAAUAUUCAACAAAACAGAAAAUUAAAGCUAAGAAAAACACAUUUAUACACAUCAAAGCGUAAAUAUUCUUACAUUUUAAUUUAUUUUCUCUAACUCUCUUAUCCUUUUGUUUAUCUUUUUCUCUUUUCUCUUUUUCUUCUUUCACUCUCACGGUUUUUUCUCUAAGAAUUCAAAUCUUUCUCUUUUUUAUUCUAUUUAUAUUUAUGAACUCUUUGUUCAAUUACUACAAUAUCGUUCAUUCAUUUAUACCUACUUUUAAGCCUCCAAGAGUUUUGUUGUUUUUUUCUAUUCUCUUUUAUUUCCAAAUCAUCACAAUAAAAUUGUUUUCUUUUUAUUAAGCUGCUAAUUUAUGCAGCUUUAGCUCUUGUUCUCUCUUCUUGUCUUGCUAUUCUGAUUUUAUCUUUUUCUUUACAUGAUAUAAGAGCAGGUUCUUACCUCUUGAAGUCUGCUGGAUAAACCUAUCAGCAGAAGAUCCUGAAGCGAUCCCAAAUCACAGCUUCAAUCCCCACCACAACCAAUCUCCUCUUUCCCGUAGUCUGUCGUCCUCAAUUGGGAAAUGAUCUCAAAAAAUCACUUGAUGCAACAAGUAGGGUAGAGAAAUAUAAGACUUCAACAAAGAAUCAAACUCAAAAAAAUAAAAGUAAUUGUCUAUGAGAAGCAUUUCUGUGUCACACACUCAAGUAAUAUGAUUGACCUAUUACAUUAUACAAAUUAACAAUAAUAAUAAUAAUAAUAAUAAUAAUAAUAAUAAAAGAACUAGGUUUUUGAUGGCAUCCAGAGUGCUGUUACUUUCAAACAAAGAGGCUUGUGCAUGCGGUGUUAUGCUGUUCGUGUAGGCUAAGAUCUCCUAUGAAUACAUUUGUAAAAUCAUACAAUUGUAUUCUUUUUAUUAAGCUGCUAAUUUAUGCAGCUUUAGCUCAUAUUCUCUCUUCUUGUUUAGCAAUUCUGAUCUGAUCCUUUUCUUUGCAUGAUAUAAGAGCAGGUUCUUACCUCAUGAAGUCUGCUGGAUGAACCUAUCAGCAGAAAAUCCUGAAUCAAUCCCAAAUCACAGCUUCAAUCCCCACCACAAUUACCAAUCUCCUCUUUCCUGUAGUCUUUCGUCCUCAAUUGGAAAAUGAUCCAAAAUCAACAACCAGUUCGGAGAUAGUCUGUGUGAAAAUAAACGGCUGAGAGAUGAAAUGUGAAGGUUAUGGUGAGAAAUUAGAUGACAAACUUACUUUGUCCUACUAAUGCUUUUGCUUUCAUUGUUUCAACAAGUAAAAGAGACAUAAGCAUAAUCAUAAGAAUCCUGUUUUUUCUAUUUUUUUCACCUAUUUAUACAUCAAAAAAUGGCAGUUUUUCUUGUCCUUUCUUUUUAAAAUCUUAUGCCUUGGGUGAGGAAAUUAGUGGAGCAUAAGACGUUUUAAAAGACAACAAAAAGAAGCAAUGUCUCAUCUUUUGAUAUGGUGGUCUUCCAUGAUCAGUUUGUUGAUGAAGAUAUCGAAAGAUUCGAGUCUCCGUUCUAGCUCAGGUUGGAAGCUAGGCCGAAGGCUAAGCUUCUUUUAAUUAUGAAUUGUUUAUGCAAAGGAAACCCAGAAGCUUGAACAAACAGAAAUGCCUUGUUGAUUUCUCUGCUACUACUCAUUAUUUCCAAUAUUAUUCCAUUAUCUUACCCGAAAGCAAUUAUACAAGAAAUUUCAUUAUCCUGCCCCAAAGGCAAUUUAUUACAAGGACUUCCUUUAACCUCCUUGAAGGCAAUUUAUUUGAUGAAAAUUCCUUUAAUCCACCUCAAAGACAAUUUAUCUUAGGGAAUUCCAACGACCCAGGCAAUUUAUUUGCUGAAAUUCCUUUAACCUCCUUGAAGGCAAUCAAGAUUUUAAAUUAAAAACCAUCUAGGUGGUGGCCCAGUGGUAAGAACCUGGGACCAAGAGGUUUGCUCAUCUGCAUAAUUAAAUAGUACUGUUACUGUAAACUACUAGGAAAUUCAUGCGUAGAGCCAAAAUGUUAACAAUAGCACAACGACCCAGGCAAUUUAUUUGCUGAAAUUCCUUUAACCUCCUUGAAGGCAAUCAAGAUUUUAAAUUAAAAAGCCAAAAAUGAACGCAUCUACUCUUGCAAGAAUGGACUCAAAAGGUCAGCUAAUCCGCAUAAUUAAAUAGUACUGUUACUGUAAACUACUAGGAAAUUCAUGCGUAGAGCCAAAAUGUUAACAAUAGCAUUGAUUCGGUCAGGGGCUCUGGUGUAUAGAGAGGACCUUGCCGUUAGAAACUAUGAACCCACUAUUUAUUAAUCCAUUUCUAUUUAGUACUAUUUACUAUUUAUUUAUUUUUAUUUACUAUAUUUCUGUAUGUGAUACCUAAGUACCAAUAAAAUUUGAGAUUCCUUCAAUUUUUUAGGUGCAUGUACAAAAUCAAUUCAAGAGUGUGUAUCCUUAACUAUAUAUCAGGCUAACCUUUACAGGCUGAGCUAGCAAUCGAUAAUUAAUUUUUAAUGAAUUCAUUUUUUAUUUAAAAUAAGGAAAAGGACAUUGUUACACCUUAACUAUUAUAAUUGUUACACCUUACCAAAGGGUUAAUUUAGAAAAAAAUUAUCAACUUACAGGUCACUGGCCGAGGUCAACUUAUGAUUAAGUAGAUCAAUUUAAAUUAAUUAUUUUUAUUAAAAUGAUAAUGUUUUGUUUUUUUUUUUCUUGAUAUUAAUUUGGCUAAUUUUUAUCAAAUCAAAUCACUAAAAACUUAAUCAAAUUAAAUUUCAUCAAAUCAAUAAUAUUUGAUGUAGUUGAAUUUUAUAUAUAUAUAUAAAUAUUUGAAAAUAAUUUAAAAAUGAUGUUUUCAUUAAUACCCAUUCUCAAUGUUUUUUUUGCCUUAUUUAGCUUUUUUUUCAAUUAGUUUUAAUUUUAUUAGCUUGGUUUAGUUUUUUAAGAGGUUAAUAUGAUUUAUUUGUAAUUUGUUUUAUAUAUUUCAGAUAUAUUAAGUAUUUUUUUUAUGUGUGUGUCAAUUUCUUUUAUAUAUUUAUUUUAGUAAAUAAAUUUAUUAAAUAUAACCAGAGAAAUGACUUUUUUAAUCUAUAUUUGUUUCUUAAUUUCUUAAUUUUUCCACCUGCUUUUUUAACUAUUGAUAAUGACUUUUUAUUAUUAUUAUUAUUCACACAAUAUAGUGCUGACACCCGCAGGUUGAGACUUGAGUAAACGAAAAUGAAAUAUUUUGGGUGUCUAUCUCCUAGUUAUGGUAUUAUUAAUAUUUGAGGGUUUUGAUUUGGAAUAAUUAGUGAAGAUUUAAUUAGAACUUAGCCAUGUACUUUAUUAAAAUUAAUUAUUUAGUCCUUAAAGUGUCAUGGAUAAUUAAAAAGUCUAUUAACUAGUGUUGACCACCCUCCAUUUACUAUGUUUUUCUCUAAAAAAUGCCUUCCUUCCUAAUGAAAUUUCCGCAACUGCAUCAGAUGUUUAUUCCCGUUCAAAUGCUCGCAACAGGGAAAGCAUAUGAUAAAGAGAAUGGAACAAGAUUCUUGUCUAUGGAGGGAAUCAAUGCUUCAACUUGCCUUGUGAUUUGCUUUAAUAAGAUUUUUUUUUAUAUAAAAAACAACUUUUAAAUUAUAAUUAAAAGUAAAAUAUCAUAAAUUUAUUUUAUAUUAAAAACCGAAUUCAUUAAACAUAACCAGGGUUGUUUAUUUUUUGUAAUGACUUUGUUUUUUAUUUAUUUAUAUAAUAAUUCAUGAUUUAUUUAAUUCGAUGCGUGCAUAAGUUUUUUAAUUUAUAUUUAGAAUUUUUCUUAAUGUAAAAAAAACAUGUUCAUAAAUUUUUAUUUUUAUGAUUUCAGUUUGAUUCUUAUUUUUAUGAUUUUUUAUGUUUUUUCCUUAUCCUUUUAUAAAAGUUUUUUUGUUUAUAAUUUCACCCUUCAAUUCAAUAUGAUGGAGUAAUUUUUUUUUUCAUUUUUUGCUUUAUAUUGUUGCCUCUCUCCUUUUGGGAAUAUUGUUGCCUCUCUCCUUUUUUUUUUUUUUUUUUCAUUUUAUCAGCUUUUGCAUGUGGAAUAUUGAGUCUUCUAUUUUUUAUCCACAGAAUUGAAUCCUUUAUAUAUUCUUAAAACUAGAUUUGAAUUCUAAUGAAGGAAUAAUAAAGAUUGUUGCAUGUACAAAUUCUCCUUCAAAAAAAUAUAAUAAAGUAUCAUGGAUUUAAGUAUAACUUAGCCCUGUAAUUUAUUAAAAUUAAUUAUUUAGUACGUCCUUAAAGUAUCAUGGAUAAUUAAAAAGUCUAUUAACUAGUGUUGACCACCCUCCAUUAAUUAUAUUUUUCUCUAAAAAAUGCCUUCCUUCCUAAUGAAAUUUCUCCAACUGCGUACUUUUCUUUUCCUUAUUCUAAUUUUUAAGAAAGAAGAAAAAACAUAUUAAUUGGAAAAGAACUAAACAAUAUGUAACUUUAAAAAUAUAAGAAUUAAACAUAUAGUUAUUGAAACUAUGGGAUUAAUUAAUUAUUGUUAUCAAAUUAUAGAGAAUAAAUUAUAAUUGAAUAAGUGUUUGUGUGGAGGAGUGUUUGCAAAUACCAUGGGAGAUGCGAUUUGUAUUAUUAAUUUAGUUGUUGGUAUAAUAGUCCAAAUAUUGUGACGACCAUUUUAUAGAAAUGAGCACAAUGUUUUUAGAAUAUUUAUAAAAAUUGACUUAAACCAAUCAAAAAAAUGAUUUUUGAGUUUGUUAAACAAUUUUAAUAAAAAUAAUAAAAAUAUAAAAUAGAAUUGAAUUGGUUGGAUAUGACCCAAACUAAAUUAAAUAAAAAAACUUAACCAAGCUAUAUUUCAAUGAUCUUGGUAUGGAUUUGUUUUUAUAAAAAAAACAUGUUCAUCCUUUUUUAAACUUCUUGUGGCCUGUUCAUUCAUACUUUAUUAAUAUUUAAAUUAUUUUUUUAUAUUUUUUAAAUUUGUUUUAAUGUUAUGAUAUUUUUUAAUUUUGUUUUGAUUGAUACAUAAAAAUAUUGUUUUUAUUGAUUAAAUUUUAUUUGGAAUUAUUGUUGAUAUUACAAAGACUUAUUUAUUCCUAUUCAGUUGAUAAUGACUACUUAGAUUUUGUAAAAAGAGUUACUUUCUUUAAUAGCCAAUUGAAUGAUUUUUUAUGAGAAAAAUAAAACAUCUUUUGAUGUGAAAAAAAGACACCAUGCACCGUCGUGUGAUACGAUGCUUUUUUUCUUGUGGCAUGUUUUUGAUGCUUUUGAUACGAUGUUCUUCCAGGAAUUUUUUAUCUUUUUAUUAGGCGGUCUAAGAUGCACAGUCGUGUGUGUGUCUAUAUAUAUAUAUAUAUAUAUAUAUAUAUAUGUAUGUAUAUAUAUAUAUAAGUCAUCGAUGCAUGUUUUUAUUUGGUAUUCAAUUCAAUUUCAUAAACAUUACUUUACUCUCUAAUUAAAUUGCUGCAACUAUAUAUAUUAUACCCUUAACCAGACUAUUAGUUUACCAUUCCUGACUAGCUAUCGUAUCCUUUUGGCAAGAAUCAUUGCCAAUUACUUUAUUCGUAGUAUGUAAGAGUCAUUAUCCAACCAUUUUCAAUUCCAUUUCAAAUCACUUUCUUUGAUAAAUUAGUUUAUAAAAUAUUUUUACAAAAACUCCAUACCAUACAUCUAAACAUCACAUAUGUUCAAAUUAAUUUGAACAUAGCAAGUGUUAUAUCUUCUUUUAAAGAUUGUAAAGGACAAAUAUACAAUUACAUUUUCCUUUUUGGGUCUCAAUUACAUUUGCAUUUACAUAUUGUUCACCUAGUAAUUUCUUUUAUAAAAUUUAUAAUAAACUCAAAAAAAUAAAUAGUACGAGAAACAAAGUUGAUAGACCCAACCGAGAACAUGCUCACGAGUUUAAAUAUCUUAAUUUUAGUUUGUAGAACAUAAAGAGAAAUAGAAUUGAUCCAUUAUUUUGUUUGCAGAACAUAAAUGAGAAAGCAACGUCAAUAUAUAAACUUAAUUAAUAAAUAUAUAGUUGGUUUUGUUUUACAAUAAAGAAUUAUUUUGUUCUAUAAAAGAGUAAUUGAAUUUUAUAAAUAAAAACACGAAAUUAUUUAUUUCCAUGCAAGAUGAAGUCAAGAUUCACCACUUAUUUGUGUGAGGCAAAAUAAUAAUAAUAAUAAUAUUAUUAUUAUUAUUAUUGUUAUUGUUAUUGAAUAAGAUGAAGUCAAGAUUCACCACUUAUUUCCAUGCAAGAUGAAGUCAAAUUUCAAAGUUCCCUUUACAAAUCGGUUGGAUAUGGCCCAAACUAUAUUAUACCCUUAACCAGACUAUUAGUUUACCAUUCCUGACUAGCUAUUGUAUCCUUUUGGCAAGAAUCAUUGCCAAUUACUUUAUUCGUAGUAUGUAAGAGUCAUUAUCCAACCAUUUGGUAUUCAAUUUCACGUUCUUUGAUAAAUUAGUUUAUAAAAUAUUUUUACAAAAACUCCAUACCAUACAUCUAAACAUCACAUAUGUUCAAAUUAAUUUGAACAUAGAUAGCAAGUGUUAUAUCUUCUUUUAAAGAUUGUAAAUGACAAAUAUACAAUUACAUUUUCCUUUUUGGGUCUCAAUUACAUUUGCAUUUUCAUAUUGUUCACCUAGUAAUUUAUUUUAUAAAAUUUAUAAUAAACUCAAAAAAAUAAAUAGUACGAGAAACAAAAACAAGAAACAAAAUUGAUAGACACAACCGAGAACAUGCUCACAAGUUUAAAUAUCUUAAUUUUAGUUUGCAGAACAUAAAGAGAAAUAGAAUUGAAUAUGAUGAUGAUGAUUUCUUUUUUCAUUUUCAGGAGACCUAUAAUAGCCGGUUGAGGGAGAGAUAUGGGGACGAUCCUUUGACCCUCCGGAUUUCGAUCCGGAUUUGUGGAUGGAGGUCGGAUCGUUCGGUGGACUCGAUAAAAAUCGGCUGUACGGGCUCUCCAACACUACGACCGAGAACUUGCGGUCGGCCCGUAGUGUCUCAACUGUUGGGAGCUCCAAAUCAGUAUCGAGCACCCAAUCUGAGGAUAUCAUGACCUUGAAACAACACACAGCUAAUCUCACCGAGAAAUACGAGCAACUCUUGGCAAAUUAUGAUCAACUCCGCCAAAUUGUCAUGAACAUGACUUCACAGAGUGGUGCUACAUGUCCGCCCCCUUUUUGGCCGUAUAACAACCAGCCUCCUCCUCCUCCUCCUCCAACUCCGCCAUUGUGCUAAUUUAAUAUUUUUUUGAAACACAUUCAAUUUGUAAUGAAUAUUAUUUAACACUAUUUUUUUGUUCUUAAUGUUUAAUAAAAUUUUAUUUGCAUAAUUGGUUUUUUUACUAUUAAUUUAUAUAAUUUUAUGUUAUUUAUUCUAAAUCAUUUUUAAUUUUUUUAAAAUACCCACCGAGGGAUUUACCGACGGAAUGUAUCACCGACGAAUUUACAGACGGAUAACGUUCGUCGGCCUUUCACCGAUAGCUAAAAAAUAUUUACUAUAUAUGCCACUAUCACCGACGGAAUAAAUUCGUUGGUAAGGUUCCAGCGGGAAGUUUUUUUUUUGGCGUGCAAUUUCCGUUUGUAAAACCAUCGAUAAUAUUUUUUUUACCGACAACCUUAGCGACGGAAUGCGGUAUUACCGACAAACAUUAUGCCGACGGACGUUUUUCGUUGGCGAUUUAGUCGGUAAAAAAAUUACUGACAAACUCUGAAUCUCAUACCGACGGAAUAUGUCCGUCGGUAAAACUGUGAAAUCUUGUAGUGAUUUAGAUUUGGGUUGGUUUUUUAUUUUUAAAUCAAUUAAAUGUUUAUUUAAGAUCAUGAAUGGACUUAUUGAGGUACCUUUUACCUAUAGCUCACUUUGAUACCCCCUCCGAUAUAUCUAACUCUUCAAUAAAGGAGCAAUUUUUCAUUACAUUCAGCACAAUAUUUAUUUCUCUAACAUGUAUGAAGAUGGCACGAGUUAAAAUGAUUGUGUAAAUUAAUUUACAAUAACGAGGCCUUCGUAUAUAGUAAUUUAUCCCAGACAAGAUGACUAAAGUACUCAAAAGAUUCAAGUAGACGUUGUUUUAACACCUUGAAGGAUUCUGAAAUUCUGCCUUGCUCGAACGCGCACAAAAUUUGCCUUUUCUUUUAUUCCUAAUCGGAUUCGUAUGCAUGCAAAAUUAAAUCACCUUGAAAACUCUUAAUCUCUAUCUCGGCUUUUAAAUAUAUAAUUUAUAGCCAUUGUAAAUUCACAAAAAAAUAUUGAUUUUUUUUUUAAUCUCUUGGGUUAUAAUAACCAUAUCUAUCCGGUGUUGUUUAUUGAAAUAUUUUUCAGUUAUUUUGGAUGAGUAUAAAAUGAAUUCAUAGUUUUUGAACUACAAAACCUAAGUUUUAUCUUGCAAACACCCCCAAAAACUUUUAGUAUUCUCAAAAACUCAAUUUUCAAUCAUAAAAUACCUUCUAAUUAGCCUAAAUGUGAAAAUCAAACCUAAUAAAAAAAAUUAUGGGUCUAAUAUACUUUUUCUAGCACGGUUAAAUGACAAGAUCAUUUUAAUCGAACUUCUUUUUUCAAGAUGAAUCUAUUAAUAUUAAAAUCGGAUUUUUUAGAUCAAAAUAUAAUCAGUCAAAUCCUUUUUUUUCUCCAUUUUCUGACCACAUUCUCUCCCUCCUCUCAAUAUUCAAUAACUUAAAAUAUAAUAAAAAUGAAUUUUUAAGAUUGAAUCAUAAAAAUUUAAAGCUAUAGAAUUAAAUAAAUCUGAAAAACAAAAACUUCAAGAACCAUAUUAAAUUUUUCUGCAACUUCUAAAAGGAUUGCAUUAUAGGAGAAUAGUUUAAUGCAUGAUAACUUGAGUCUUGCUACACAAUAAAAUUUGUUACAGUAAGAAUAACAAAUGUUUUAAUUUAGAAUAUAACUAGUUAGGUGCUCACACUACAUCGCGGGUUCACAUUUUAUUUUCAUAAAAAAUAUCAUAAAAAUUUAUAAUACAAAUAAUAAUAUUUUUUCAAUAUUAAUAAUCAUAUUUUUUCAAAUUUAUUAAUAAUAUUUAUAACACAAAUAAUAAUUUUUUUAUUAUAAUUGUAUUAAUUAUAAUAAAAAUAAAAUAUUUAUAACAUAAAUGAUAAUAUUUUUAAUAGUAAUACUAUUAAUUAUAAUAAAAAUAAUAAUAUUUAUAGCACAAAUGACACUAUUUUUAAUAUUAAUACUUUAAAUUAUAAAAAAUAUAUAUAUUUAAAAUACAAAUAAUUAUAUUUAGAAACCUAAAACCUAAGAACCUUGGGUUUUGAUAAAGGAUCCAAUAGAAUUAGGUUCUGACGCAAGACCCUUUAAGCUUGGGUCUUGAUACGGGACUCAAGACAAUCGGGUCCUGACACAGGACCCGAUUCGAAAGGUAAAAAUAUAAAUUAUUGUUCUUAUUAUCAUUAUUAUCAAUAAUAAAUUUGACAUAAAAUAUUAUUACCACCAAAGAAAAACUAUAUAGUUGAUUUGAAGGAUAAAAUUAAUAUUAAUAAUAAUAAUAAUAAUAAUAAUUAUUAUUAUUAUUAUUAUUAUUAUUAUUAUUAUUAUUAUAUGUGCUAUAGAUAUUAUUAUUUUUAUUAUAAUUGAAGGUAUUAAUAUUAAAAAUAAUAUUAUUUGUGUUAUAAGUAUUAAUAUUUCUAUUAUAGUUCAAAGUAUUAUUAUUUAUGGUAAAAAUAUUAUUAUUUUUAUUAUCAUUGAAGGUAUUAAUAUUAAAAACAGUAUUAUUUAUGGUAUAAAUAUUAUUAUUUAACUUGUCUGCCUAAAUGUUUAUAUUUUUGAGUCUUUAAAAAACAAUUGUGGUUUUUCUUCGAUAGUAAUAAUAGUUUUUUUUAAUUUAUUGAUGAUGAUGAUGAUGAUAAUUUUUAAUUUUACCUUUCAAAAUAAAAUUUAUGGUUGUUUUUCAAUAUUACUAAUAUUUGUUUUUCAAAUUUAUUUAUUAUUUUAUUAAUAAUAUUAAUUAUAAUUAAAAUAAUAAUAUUUAUAAGACAAAUAAUAAUAUUUUUAUUAUAAUAAAAAUAAUAAUAUUUAUAACACAAAUGAUAAUAUUUGUAAAUUCACAAAACAAUAUUGAUUUUUUUUUAAUCUCUAGGGUUAUAAUAACAAUAUCUAUCCGGUGUUGUUUAUUGAAAUAUUUUUCAGUUAUUUUGGAUGAGUAUAAAAUCAAGUCAUAGUUUUUGAACUACAAAACCUAAGUUUUAUCUUGCCCCAAAAACUUUUAGUAUUCUCAAAAACUCAAUUUUCAAUCAUAAAACACAUUCUAAUUAGUCUGAAAGGUGAAAAUCAAACUUAAUAAAAAAAAUUAUAAGUCUAAUAUACUUUUUUUAGCAUGGUUAAAUGACAAGAUUAUUUUCAUCGAACUUCUAUUUUCAAGACGAAUAUUAAUAUUAAAAUCAGUUUUUUUAGAAGGGAAUAUGAUUAGUCAAAUCCUUUUUUUUUCUUCAUUUUCUGACCACAUUCUCUCUCUCCUCUCAAUAUUCAAUAACUAAAAAUAUAAUAAAAAUAAAGUUUUAAGAUUGAAUCAUAAAAAUUUAUAGGAUUAAAUAAAUCUGAAAAACAAAAACUUCAAGGACCAUAUUAAAUUUUUCUGCAUCUUCUUAAAGGAUUGCAUUAUAGGAGAAAAGUUUAAUGCAUGAUAACUUGAGUCUUGCUACACAAUAAAAUUUGUUACAGUAAGAAUAACAAAUGUUUUAAUUUAGAAUAUAAAUAGUGGGUUCACUUUUUUAUAUAUAUAUAAAACAUAUCAUACAAAUAAUAAUAUUUUUUCAAUAUUAAUAAUAAUAUUUUUUCAAUAUUAAUAAUAAUAUUUUUUCAAAUUUAGUAAUUAUUUUAUUAAUAAUAUUUAUAACACAAUUGAUAAUAUUUUUAAUAUUACUACUAUUAAUUAUAAUAAAAAUAAUUAUAUUUAUAGCACAAAUGACACUAUUUUUAAUAUUAAUACUUUAAAUUAUAAUAAAAAUAAUUAUAUUUAAAAUACAAAUAAUUAUAUUUAGAAACCUAAAACCCAAGAACCUUGGGUCUUGAUGAAGGACCCAAUAGAAUUGGGUUCUGACGCAAGACCCUUUAAGCUUGGGUCCUGAUACUAGACUUAAGACAAUCGGGUCCUGACGCAGGAACCAAUUCAAAAACGGAUAAUUCCAACUCUGGCGUUGGUAACUAUUACGUAGCUAUAAAAUAAAUUUAGAUCAAUAUUUUUUUAUUCCUAACUUUAAAGCUAUUGAAUAAAAAAAUAAACUAAAUUCAUCUUAUUACGCAUUCACAUAUUUUUUAUUUCUUAUGUAGUUAAAUAAAAAAACAAAAAAAACAAUUAAAUCAGUGUUUUUAUUCAUGACUCUAGCGUCAGUGAAUAAACAAAAAAAAUAUUAUUUUUUCAUACAUGCACAUAUUUUUUUUUGCUAAAUAAAAUAAAAUAUAACGAAUAAAAAUAAUAUAAAUUUAAACCAGUAUUUUAUUCCCGACUCUGGCGUUGGUAAAUAAAUCAGUAAAUUUAUAUUAUUUUUAUUCAUGAAUACACAUAUUUUUUUAUUUUUUUAUUUUUUAUUUUUUUGGGGCUGGGCCCAGCUCAGCCCACAUGGGCUGGGCUAGCCCAGCCGGCCCAGCCCGGUCACUGGCCCAAGCCAGUGACCCGGCUGGGUCACAGCACGCAUGAACUAGUUUCAUGCGUGCAUGGCGCUGCGCGAAGGUAAUUAAUUACCUUCGCACACUGCUAAAUGCACUGAACUUUCGAAAGUUAAAAAACGAAGAAAACAGAGGAAGCUUACCUUGUUGCAGGUUGCUUCGCCGGAGUGUCAGCGUGUCGGGCGACGAUCAGUGGUGGCGUCCGUCAACAGUAAGCUAUAAUUCCUCCUUCGACCUCUGCCUUACUGCCCUCUGUUUCCUCUGCCCUCGUCUGAAAAAUUAUUCAUGUGCUCUGUUUUUCAAAUUCUCUCUACUCUCUCUCGGUUUGUUUCUGUUUUCGUUGUUUUAAGGCCGGUAUUGGUGAGGGAAAGGUUCACUUCUGGUAUGGGGUUCUAAAAAAAACUUAAAAAUUCGGCUGGUAUCUUUGUGUUUCUCUCUUGGGGUUUCGUUCGUCCCUCUCUCUCUCUAGCCAACCCCUGUUCUUCGGUGCUCCUCGGUUUAUAUAGAGCUCGGGCGGUAGGCUGAGGGUCGACCACCAUUAAGGCGCCCCUAACUGAAGCCAACGGACGACGAUUACUGCUGCAACGUUCUCCCUCCUUUACUGUAGAAAACGGUCACUGGCUUAAAGGAGAAGAAGAUGAACAGCGUCUUCAAAACGACGCCGUUUGGGAUAUGAGAUGGCCAUUUGCGUUUUGACCCGUGAAGUUUCGCAACUUUUAUAAUUAAGCCCCUGGUUUAAACUGUAAUUUCUCCUGCAUUUCGGCGCCUUUUACAAGUUAGUCCUUGGACUUUAAUCUGUUGCAAUCGUGCCCUAAUUAACCCCAAACUUUGCUAUUUCUUCAAUUAAGUCCCUAAGUUCAUUAAUUUAAUUCAAUCCAAGUCCAAUUAAGUCUCAAAACUUAUCAAUUAUCCAAUUAAGCCCCUGAUUGGAUUAAUUAAAUUAAUUCCAAGAUUAAAUAAGUCUCAAAACGUAUCAAUUUUCCAAUUAAACCCUUGAUUGGAUGAAUUAAAUUAAUUUCAAGCUUACUUAAGUCUCAAAACUUAUCAAUUCUUCAAUUAAAUCCUUGAUUGGAUUUAAUUAAAUUAAUUCCAAGUUUAAUUAAGUCUUAAAACUUAUCAAUUCUCUAAUUAAACCCUUGAUUUGAUUAAUUAAACAAGUAAAAAAUUUAAUUUAAAUCUUUAAACUUCCAAUCAUGUUACCCUUAACCCAAAUUUUAAUUCAUUCUUCAUUUAUUUCAUUUUUAUUAUUUAUUUUUCAUCAUCAUUAUUAUAUUUUUUUUCAUUAUUUUUCUUUUUAUCAUUUUCCAGUAAAUAAAAUAAUAAUAAUAAUUAAAAUAAAAUGGUCAAAAAUUGGGUUAUGACAACAUCUAUGGAAAUUCAAUCAUUUAAAAAAAUUCGGCAGCACCUCCCCUGUACUGAAGACUACCCACAAUUUAUAAACCUGCAAUCUUUACAAUAACCACAAUCCAAUUGACUCCAGCAACAUAAUAUAUACAACCUAACAUCUAUGAAAAUUCAAUCAUUUAAAAAAAUUCGACAGCACCUCCUAUAUAUUAGAGACUAUCUACAGUUUUCAUACCUACAAAUAUUAAUAAUUACACAAAUAUUGCAAAAUCAACUCUAUACAACCUAACAUAUAUAUACAACCUAACAUCUAUAGAAAUUCAACAUCUAUAUUUUUUCAACUAACAUCAAUAGAAAUUCAUAAAUAACAAUUAAAAUUAAUCAAAAUAAUAAACAACAUAACAAACAAUAAUAUCCUAAAAUUAAGAUAAACUAAUUAAACUUAAUUCUAUAUUUCAAUUAACAUUUUAAAUAUAAAUUCAACAACAAUAAUUAUUGCAAAACAAACAAUAAUAUCCUAAAAUUAAGAUAAACUAAUUAAAUUUAAUUCUAUAUUUCAAUUAAUAUUUUAAACAUAAAUUCAAUAACAACAAUUAUUGCAAAACAAACAAUAAUAUCCUAAAAUUAAGAUAAACUAAUUAAAUUUAAUUCUAUAUUUCAAUUAACAUUUUAAACAUAAAUUCUUAAAAUCUAUUGUUUUUUUUCAAUAUUAAUAAUAUUUUUUUUUCAAAUUUAUUUAUUAUUUUAUUAAUAAUAUUAAUUAUAAUUAAAAUAAUAAUAUUUAUAAGACAAAUAAUAAUAUUUUUAUUAUAAUAAAAAUAAUAAUAUUUAUAACACAAAUUAUAAUAUUUUUAAUAUUAAUACCUACAAUAAUAAUAAAAUAAUAAUAUUUAUAAGACAAAUUAUAUUAUUUUUCAUAUUAAUACUUUUAAUUAUAAUAAAAAUAAUAAUAUUUAAAAUACAAAUAAUUAUAUUUAGAAAGCUAAGACCCAAGAAGGAUCCAAUAGAAUUGGGUCCUGACGCAAGACCUAUUAAGUUUGGGUCCUGACGCCGGACCUAAGACAAUCGGGUUCUGAUGCUGGAUUCAAGAGAAUUUGGUCCUGACGCAUGACCCAUUACCCUUAGGUCCUAACACAGGACCCAAGCGAAUUGGGUCCUGACGCAGGACCCAUUAGAGUUGGGGUCCUAGGGCAGGAUUUAAGAGCAUUGAGUUCUAACGCAAACCAAUUACCAUUGGAUCCUAGUGCACGACCCAAGUGAAUUGUGUCCUGAGACAGGACCUAUUAGACUUGGACCCUUAGGCAGGAGCCAAGAGCAUUGGGUCCUGGCGCAUUUGAAAUAAAAUAUUAUUACCACCAAAGAAAAACCAUAUAGUUGAUUUGAAGGAUAAAAUUAAAAAUUAAAAUAGUAUUAUUUGUGUUAUAAAUAUUAAUAUUUUUAUUAUAGUUCAAAGUAUUAAUAUAAAAAAUAUUAUUAUUUGUGUUACGAAGAUUAUUAUUUUUAUUAUCAUUGAAAGUAUUAAUAUUAAAAAUAAUAUUAUUUGUGGUAUGAAUAUUAUUAUUUGCGGUACAAAUAUUUUUAUUUUUAUUAUAAUUGAAAGUAUUAAUAUUCAAAAUAGUAUUAUUUGUGUUCUAAAUAUUAUUAUUUUUAUUAUAAUUCAAAGUAUUAAUAUAAAAAAUGCUCUUAUUUGGGGUAUAAAUAUUAUUAUUUUUAUUAUAAUUGAACUAAUAAUAUUUAGAAUAUAAAUUAUAAUAUGUUUGAUAUUAAUACUUUCAACUAUAAUAAAAAUAAUAAUAUUUAUACCCCAAAUAAUUAUAUUUAGAAACUUAAGACCCAAUAACCUAGGGUCUUGAUGCAGAACCCAUCAGCCUUGGAUCCCGACGCCGGACCACAGAGCAUUGGUCCUGUUGCAGGAUCUAAGAGUACUGGGUCUGGACGCAGGACCCAAGAGAACUGGUCCUGAUGCAGGACCCAUGAGCCUUAGGUCCCGACGCCGGACCACAGAGCACUGGUCCUGUUGCAGGAUCCAAGAGUACUGGGUCCGGACGCAGGACCCAAGAGAACUGGUCCUGAUGCAGGACCCAUGAGCCUUGGGUCUUGACGGGGACCCAAGAGAAUUGGAUCCUGACGCUGGACCCAUGAGCUUUGGGUCUCACUAGGGUUCGCGCUGACCCAGCACACAAGCAGGGAAGCCCGAGCGUAAGGUGUCCCCAUGUGGCGCGCGGGUCUGGCUCAGCGCCUAGGGCUUGCCAGCCCUAGCGCCAGGUGUUCGCAUCCCAAGGCUUGUAGCCCCACCAAAACUGGAACUGACCAUUUUCUCCCCAACCAUCCCUUCAAUGCCAAAUAUAUCCCAGUGAGAAGACAACCCCACCCCUCCCCUGCUGUCCUUGCAAAUCUAUGUGGCAAGGGCAACUUUGUCAUUACACUACUUUAAUCCACAAUAUUUUGUAUCUAGAUAAAUAGUAACAAGGGCACUGAACCUUUUUAGUAUAACAAGGAGAUUUCAAGAAGUAGUUAAAUUUAGGUUAUAUUAGAUACGACUUUUGUAAAUUGAUUUAAUUUAUUUUUUACUUUUGAUUUUAAUUUAUUUUGAAGUAUGUUAGUUAGAAUAGCUACCAGAUUAGGCAUGUAACUUAUGAAAGGGUUUGCAAGCAGAAAACAAUUAGAAAUCAGAGGAAGAUUUAGAGGAUAUAAUAUUUAGGAUCUCUAGCAAAAGCCAGCAAGGUAUCUGCUCGAAAAAACCAUUCAACAUGAGAUUGCUCUGCUAGGAAAACAUGAUAUCAGUAUCAAACUUUUGAACAAUUAGUACAGCAUCAAGUCUCAGUCAUCUUGAAAUAUAUCGACAUCAGCAUACAAAAACAUUUAUUCUGCAUUGCCAGGCCCAUUUCCAAAACCACAUAAGCAUAUGCAAUAGAAACAGAGCAUCAAACUGACAGAGAAAACAUAGUGAUGCAGCAAAUACCCAAGUCGUAGAGCCAUUAAUUUGAGCAGAAAGGAGAAUGAAAGUCCACACAUUCUUCUUCUUUCCACCCAUUAUCUCGGGUCCACUCUCUAUUAGUGCUUGAAUCCUCAGCUACUUCAGAUACCUGUAAACCAAUUCAAGCAUGGCAUACAUAUUUUAACUUCUAAAUCUUAUUAUUGAGCGAAACAAGAAACAAACACACAAAAAGAGAAGCAACAAAUCAAGACAACUCAGCAGCACCUCUGAUUGAGCUCUUAUUGAACCAUUUGGUGUAGUAGCAAAUUUUGUGAUCAGCUUUGGGCAUUCAAACACCUUCAACUUCUCUAAAUGAGGGAAUAAGAAAUCAUAACAUCCGAGACUGAAGCAUACAAUACUUGAUAAUUGUUCUAGCAACAGCACCUGCAGAUUCGGGAGCUCCAUCACCUUCUCAACAUUGACAGGUAAAGCAUUCUCUUCCUGUCCAAAUACUCCCAAUAAUUGAGAAGCUUCUCUUACUUUCAGUAUUUGGAGAUUUGGGAGACCUGAAGCCAUGCCUACUGGGAAGAGACAUUUCAACUUGUUGCAUUUUCUGACAUCAAUUUCACAUAAAUUGGGGAAGCAUAAAGAUUGAAGAUGAUCUCCUGGCACUAUCUGAUCCUUUCCAUCAUCAUUAUCCCUAGCAAUGAUUUGCUCUAAUUCCUCACAACUUUCUAUGUUUAGAAAAUUCAGUUGAACUAGACUAGCAAUCAUGCUGUCUGAGAAUACAUGUGUUAGUCUCUUACACUCAUACACCACCAAAGUAGUCAAAUUGCUCAGCACGAGACCCUUCCACAAACACCUCAUGUCAGGCACAAGCAGGGAGCCCAAGCGCAAUGUUUUCAAACUUGUUAACUCCUACAUCAAAAGACAACAAUGGCACUAAUUUGUUAGAUAUAAUUCCUAGUAUGUUUUGGUAAAUAGAUGAAUCAGUUAUCAACAAAAGGAUACAAGUAGACAUGGCAAAAGGGCAUUGGAAUAUGAAAUCAUAAGUUGCAAGACUGAAAUAGACAACUCAAUAUUAGCAAAUGGAGGUUUAUCGUCCUAUCCAAAUACUUUCAUUAAUUGGGGGAAGAGCCUCAAUUUCACUCAAACUGGGAAAGCAUAAAUCAAGGUAGGAUUUCAUUACAAUAAUUAAUUUCUUACUUCUUAAGCCCUGCGUCAAGAGACAGGGAAUGAUACAGUUAGACAACUCCUUUUAAAUUUAGUGGAUGGCUAAAGGAUUUAUCUCCACUUAUAAAUUACUUCAGUUUUAGAAAUUUGGAGGAAGAAACACAGUGUAUUGAAGUUGACAAUUUAAAAUAAAAAGCAAAAAAAUUAUUGGAGAAAUAUAAAGGACGCACUUGAAGCUUUGCCAACAAAUUACCCAAUUCUUCAUGGCCAUCAAUGAUUAGACAUUGCAAAGAAGGCAAUUGGGCAGCAAAAUUCUUAGGGCCAAAAAAGCUGAAAUUUGAUCUGGAAGAAAGAGACAAUUUUCUUAGUCGAGGGAACUUGAUGAUGCCAUCUGUGGUGAGUGCAUCUCCUUCUCCACUGUAAAAUAUUUGCUUUAAAUUAUGAGCAUAAAAAAUCCCCAUCUCUUCCAGGUUCAGAAGACUCGGAGACACAGAGACAGGGAAGACAUAUUCCAGUUUACCACACUCUUCUAUGAAGAUAGUUUUUAAUCUUGGGAAGCGAAGAGACUCUGAAAUUAUUUCCCUUUCAUCAUCCUUUUCUCUGAUAAUAUGCUUCAAUUCACCGCAAUAUCAUAUGUCAAGGGUUGCUAGCUUUGGCAGACUUUGAGCCAGGGAUGGUGUGAAGAUAAAUGUCAGUUUGUCGAGAGAAUUCAAAUUCAGAUGAACAAGAUUUUGGAGGCUGACAUGCCUAGUAGCCCCUUCCAUAUACAUCUGAGCUCAGGUAAGUCGAUCAGCAGUAACGUUGUUAAAGAUGACAGUAGCGACAGCUCCUUCUCCUCAUUGCUUUCUUCAUCCACCUCACCCAAUUCAAAUACCUCUUCCAAUGAUUUACAGCUCUCAAUAUCCACACUACUUAGAUUUUUCAAAGCUUGCAGCAAUUUUGCUGGAAAAGGAGUGCGAACAUCCCCACAAUCGUUCACUUCUACAAAUCUUAAUCUUUGUAAGAAGCCCUUUUGCUGUAUAAAUAUUAUAUUUUUUAAACCCUUCACUCUCAUAAAAACAAUUUAUAUGAUGCAUAAAUAGGAAAAAAAUUUUAUAAAGUACGUACUUGUAGCUGUGCCAACCAAUUACCCAAUUCUUUGCGGCCAUGAAUGGUUAGUUUUUGCAAAGAAGGCAAUUGGACAGCAAAAUUCCGUGGACCUAAAAAGCUGUAAUUUGAUCCGAGCCGAAGAGACAAUUCUUUUAGUUGAGGGAACUUGAUGAUGUCAUCUCUGGUAAGUGCAUCUCCUUCUCCACCGUAAAAUAUUUGCUUUAAAUUGUCAGCAUAAUAAAUCGUCAUCUGUUCCAGGUUCGGAAGACUUGGAGACACAGAGACUGGGAAGACAUAUUCCAGUUUACCACAUCCUGAUACAAGGAGAGUUUUUAAUUUUGGGAAGCCUGGAGACUCUGGAAUUAUCUCCCUUUCACCAUCCUGUUCUCUGAUAAUAUGCUUCAAUUCACCGCAUUUUUCUAUCUCAAGUGUUUCUAGCUGUGGUAGACUUUGAGCGAGGGACGGUGUGAAGAUAAAUGUCAGUUUGUCGAGAGACCAAACCUUCAGAUGAGCAAGACUUUGGAGGCUGACAUGUCUGGUGGCCCCCUUCCAUAUGCAUUUGAGCUCAGGUAACCCUUGCAGCUCUAACAUUGUUAAAGAUGAUAGCAGCGGCAUCUCUUUCUCCUCAUUGCUUUCUUCAUCAACCUCACCCAAUUCAAAUACCUCUUCCAAUGAUUUGCAGCUGUCAAUAAUCACCUUCUUUAGAUGUUUCAAAGCUUGCCGCAAUUUUGCUGGAAACAGAGUGCAAAUAUCCCCACAACGCUGCACUUGUACGAAUUCUAAUCUCUGUAAGAAGCCCUUUUGGAGCUCAUGGCCAUGGUUGGUCAUGUGAUCAGAGUGCAAUUCUAUAUUUUUUAAACCCUCUAAACUCGUAAAAAUAAUUUGGGACACCGUAGGAAACAACAGCUCAAAUGUCAUCACAUUUAAGGAUGUGGCGCUUGUACCAGCCAAAUUUAAUCUUGUCGAGGUUGGGUAUCCUCCUGCAUCAAACCGAUUCCCUAAUACUAUAUCAUAUUUGUGCAAGCUAGGAAAAACAAAAUCUCUGGGAAUGCAUUCCACCUUCGGUAUCCUUAAUGAUAAUACAGCUAACUGAGACAACGAAUUUAGUUCUUUUAGGCUUGCAUUCAUUCCUCCUGUGCUGUCACAUCCAACAACAUCCCAUUCCUCAAAGCUGCCAUCCCCGAUCAACAAUUCUUCUAACUUCUUCAACCUUCCAAUCAAAUUCACAGGAAUCCUACUGAGCCUUUCACAACCUGUCACAUCCAACAACCUUAACUCCUUGAGCUCUCCUAUUUCAUCAGGUAAUUCUUCAAUGGAUAAGCACCACAUAAGACCAAGAAUCUUAAGUCUCUGCAGCUUUCUCAACCAAAUGAGGUCCUUGCAUCCACACAUGAUCAACACCAAAGAUUGAAGUUUCGUUGAUAGUUCAAGUGAUUGCAAUGACAAACGCCCUCCGUUCAGAGACAAAACUUCAAUUUCUCUUAUCCCUUCAAAAAACCUCUGAGGAACAUUCAAACCAUAAUCCACUUCUAAUAAUAGAACUUUGAGCUUUGGACAUACCAAUCCUUCAGGAAGUUCUGCUAGUUUAUUGCCCAUUAACGAAAUUGUUGUACAACCUUCAAAGCUUGUAUUGCUCAUUGGCCACUUCUGCAACCCAAUGCCAGCCUUUACCAUGAAUCCAUAUUCUUCUGAUGAUGCUAUCUGAAUAGCAAAGUCAUGCAUUUUCACAUGUUCUCCAGUUUCAGUGCCCAACAGCAUGCAACAAUCUUUGAGGUUUUCGAUUGCCACAAAAACUCGUUUCCUUGCAUCUUCGAUGGGCUCCGCAUCUUGAUGUAACCCAUAGCCAACUGCAUAUCUCAUCAAGUCCUCGAUUGGAAUAUCAUAGUCUUCUGGAAAUAAACAGCAUAGCACGAAACAUGACUUGGUUUCCUCGAACUUCAAAUAAUCAUAGCUCAACUUAAGACAUGUAUAAGCAUUUUUUUGUUUGUCAAUUUGUUCCAUGCGCGGAAAUUGAGAGUCUUUGAGCUGUUUAGACGCUACUUCCCACUGAACUAGAGAUUUAUCUCUUAGAGCCCUUCCCACUGUCACAAGUGCUAUAGGCAAGCCAUGGCAUUCUCUCGCAACCUCCCUUGCCACUGUGUUCAAGGUAGAGUCCCCAUCACGUAAACCUGCAUUGAUUCUGAAUAAAGCCAAUGCUUCAUCUUCAGAUAAGACUCUUAAAAACACUUUUUGCUGGCACUCCAUAGAAGAACAUAUGUGUUCAAAACGUGUUGUUAGAAGAAUUUUACAACCCCUGUGAUCAUCACCAAAUGGGAUCCCUAUCUCUUUCAAGUCAAUAUCUUCCCAAACAUCAUCUAGGAUUAUAAGCAUCUUCUCCACUUCCUUCAGUCUAUGCCUUAAUCGAUCUGCUCUCCCUUCUCUACUCUUUUCUUUAAUAUCCAGACGUAACUUAUCUGCCAUUCGAUCCUGGAUGUCUGUGACAUUUGGAUUCUGGGACACCGUAGCCAUCAAAACUUCAGGAAAAAGCUGCAACUCUUUGGCUCUCCUGCCUACUUCUUUCACCAGGGUGGUUUUACCCACUCCUCCCAUGCCGUACAGUCCGAUCAUAUUGACACUGUCAUCUUUGAGAGCUUUCAUAAUCUGUUCCAAAGCUUCUUUUGAUGAUUCUGAGGGCGUGAAUUCCUUUGAUGGAAGAAAUUCUAUGGGCUGAAGAUGAGCUUUGUGGGACACCGUUUUAAACUUUUCGCUAAUUUCUUCAAGUUUUCUGAGAGUCUCCGACUUAUUGGCCAGUGCCUUGCUUAACUUGAAUUGUCGCAUGCAGUUUGGACACCAAGUAAAGCAUUUGCCAUUUUUUCCUAUUUCAUUUUCCAAAGGCUUCACACCUUCAAUCUCGUUGUUUGCAUCUUCCAGCCACUUUUUGACAACUUUUUCAAUUUCUUCAGCAUUCGUUUUAGCAUCUUCGACAAUAUUUUGCAGACGUUCUUUUGCCGAAUACAGAUUCUCCUUUCGUUCUUUGAAUUCUUCAACAAAAUUGUUGAAACAGAACAUGUAACGGAACUGCCUUCCUACUGGUUCCACCAUGAGUUCUGCUAUCUUAGAUAUAAUGGAUCCACCCACACUUUCGAUAGCCAUUUUCCACCACUCUGAAAAUCAGAGAAAUAAGGAUACAGAACGCGAGAGUGAGUCACUACAAGUAAAAGAGGCACAGAGAAUGAGAAAAGGAAUUUUAUUACCUUAUUUUGGGAAAAUAUGUGCGAAAAGCACUGGUACUGAUUGCUCAAUGAAAUAGCGGGAGGAAGAAAAGGAGAAGGCCUUUAGCUCUGUAUGGAAUCCAGCUUCAAAAGCAACAAGGCAAGGUAUGAUCUAAGACGAAUGAAAGGUUCAGGAUAAUCACUUAGACGCCUCCAUGGGUGAUACCAGCUCGCUUCCAACAACAAAUGUAAUUAAUCUAAGCUAUGAGCGGUCAAUGUUUUUUUUAGUUUAGUUUUGUUUUUUUUCUUAAAAAACAGAUCAACAAGGGAAAAAACUUGCAAAGAAGUACAAUUACUGGAACGAACUCAACAAAGGAUCAAACUCAAGCAAUUAAAAGUAAUUGUCUCAUCUCUGUGUCACACACUCAAAGAAUUUCAUUACCUUAUUUUGGGAAAAUAUGUGCGAAAAGCACUGGUACUGAUUGCUCAAAGAAAUAGAGAAGGCCUUUAGCUCUGUAUGGAAUCCAGCUUCAAAAGCGACAAGGCAAGGUAUAAGCAUUUUGAUGACAUAAUUAAGAUAACAUGCGUAGUAAUAUAAAGAAAAUGACAAACAAAUAAAAAAAAAUAAUGUGUACAAGCAAGAAACGAAUGAAAGGUUCAGGAUAAUCACUUAGACGCCAUGGAUGAUACCAGCUCGCUUCCAGUAACACAUAUAUUUAACCUAAGCUAUGAUCGGUCAAAAAAAUAUUUAGGUUUCUUUUUUUUAUAUAUAAAAAAAUACAGAUCAACAAGGGGAAAAAAAAAAGAAAAGACUUGCAAAGAAGUAGAAUUACUGGAAUGAACUCAACGAAGGAUCAAACUCAAGCAAUUAAAAGUAAUUGUCUCAUCUCUGUGUCACACACUAAAGGAAGGAGAGAAAAGAAGGGGAUGGGAUCACGGCAAGAAAGAAGGAGAAAGAAAGGAAUGAGACAAAGAAGGAAGAAAGUAAGGUCACGUAGGGGCCAGUCUUGUAGAAAGUUUGAGAAUUAGAAUGAAAAAGAGGAUAAUAAAGUAGUUCACUUGUCAGAAUCAAAACACAUAAACAUAGGACAAAAACAGGGAGAGAGGCUAUUUGUGUUUUUUAACUGUGUUAGAGUGUAUUUUAUAAUUAUAUUUAAUUUAUAGAAAUAUUAAAUUAAAAGUUUUUAAUAUUUUUUGAUAUUUUUUAAAAAUAUAAAAUAUUAUUUUAAUAUAUUUUGAAAUAAAAAACAUUUCACAAUACCAAAUUAUAGUAUAAAUUUAAAGAGAAAUUGAUUUUCUUGUUCAUUAAUGUUUACUCAGACUCAUUUUACUAUGAAUAUUAAUUAUGGGUUUAUUGAAAAUUUUCAAUUUGAUACUUAAGUUUUUUUUCUAUAAUUGAGCCCUUUUGAGCUCAUUUGCAUAUUUUUUUAAGGAUAAGGGUUAAAAUGAAAGAUAGAGAACUAAAAUGAAAAACUAGGCUAAAAUAGGUGGCGGCUCUAUAAUUUGUUUGCAAAGUUCAUUUUAGUCCUCUAUCUUUUUAAACUAUUAAGUAACCAGUUCUUAUAAUUUUUAAACAUUGCAUUUUGGUAUAAAAUUUUAUUUUCCUCCUUUUUUUAGUUUUUUUUUUUUAGAGGAAAGAGAGAGGGUCGCCAGAUUUCAUCUUAGAGAGAAAACGUUGUAGUUGGGGAAGAUUUUGGCCCCUAAAACAUAUGUUGCUUGAUUUUUAAUUGAGUCUAAGUGGUUUUUAUAAUUAUAUUUAAUUUAUAAAAAUGUUAAAUUAAUAUAUUUUUAGUGUUUUUUUGUGAUUUAAAAAAAUAUAAAAUUAUUUUAUUAUGUUUUUAAUAAAAAAUAUUUUUAAAAAGCAUGUGUCCCAAUACCGAAUUAUUAUAAUUAUAAUAUAAACUAAAAGACACAGUCUUUUAGUUUGGCCUUUGACUUAUAGCACCGUGAAUUAGAACAACGUUAUCAUGUCCUAACCAUAGUUAUUAAACCCGAUCCAGAGGUUGACCUGGCCAAGGUGCCGGGUCCUGAGUUUCAUGGGUCAACCCGGAAAAAAAAAUAAAAAUUAAAGUUUUAAUAUUUUAUAUGAAAAAUUAAGAAAAAAUACAUGUAAAUAUAUGCUAUACAUAUUGUAAAUAAUGAAAUUUAAAAGAAUAUUUUAAAAAGUUUUUUUAUCUCACAUUAAAAAGAUAUUAUGUUAGGCUUUUAAGUUGAAAUAUUUAAACCAAAAAAGUUUUUUAUCUCACAUUGAAAAAAAUAUAACUUUUUUCUUGGAAACAUAGAGUAUAUAUAUUAUAAUACUAAUGGGUUUUAAAUCCCACAUUGAAAAAACAUAGUUUUUUUCUUGUGAACAUAACAUAGUUUUUUUCUUGUGAACAUAGAAUAUAUAUACUAAUGGGUUUCAAAUCCCACAUUGAAAAAAGAUAACUUUUUUCUUGGGAAUAUAGAGUAUAUUUACUAUAAUACUAAUGGGUUUUAAAUCCCACAUUAAAAAGAUACUAUGUUAUCCUUUUAAGUUGAAGUAUUUAAACUAAAAGGUUUUUUUAUCCCACAUUGAAAAAACAUAACUUUUUUUUUUGAAACAUAAUAUAUACUAAUGGGUUUAAAAUCUCACAUUUGAAAAAAAAACACCGGGUCUCGCCCCGGUUGACCCGCCAGGUCGAUCAAGUUUGGUCAGGUCAUUGCAUCGGCCGGUCUUUUGACAAACAUGGACCGGUUCAGCCCCCAGGUCAACCCGCCAGUCCGUUCAGGUUUAAUAACUAUAGUCCUAACUGACACGAUCAAAGAGUUGAUGUCUUAUCCCAAGUGCAAGAGUGUCAAAGUAAUAAAUAACCCGUCAAGACCGGGGUCGAACCACAAGGAGGUGAAUUAUAUAAAUUAUAAUAAUAAUAAUAAUAAUAAUAAUAAGAACAACAACAACAAUGAUGAUGAUGAUGAACAACAACAGGACUUUGAGAUGUAAGAUAAAUGUGAAGAUUAAAUAAUGAUAAAAACAAAUGUCAAGGUUAGAGGAUCCACUAAUAGUAUUAGAGAUAAGUAAAGUAUAAACUCUUUAUAAAUUAUCAACACGAUCAUAUCAAUCAUCUUAUUUACGUAACACCAUAUUUGUCGCACGUCAGAAAAUUCGUGCGGCAUCGGCUUGCAAUUUUAUCGUUGUUAUGCGUUGAUUUAGGGUCUUAGGAGUCGCCACCUAGUAAUUUAUAGAAGGCUACUAGGAAACCGGAUGAACUGGUCUUGUCAGAGAUUCACGAGUAAGAGACUGGUUGUGGUUAGAGAAGGUAUUAGCACCCCUAACACACCCUACCUGAGGUAAGCUGCUUCGUGGACUUGAUGUGUUAAAGAAGUUUUAAAAAUUCUGUUCUUUCAUUGAAUUUUAGAAAUACGACUUCCAUGUAAGUUCAUAAUUCUUUAUCCGUGAGCAAAUCAAAAUAUUAAAUUCUUCUUUAAUCUUUGCAAUUUUAUCAUAAAUAAAAAAAAAAACAUCCAUAACAAAAAAUAUAAACACACACAUACACCUUCACUGUAUUUUUUCUCUUUUCUUUUCUUUUCUUUUUGUUUUUACAUCCACAAUACAAAAUACAAUUUCAAAAGAACAAACUAAACCAAAAUUACAAUAAUAACCCCAAAACAAUCUGGAAUUUACAGGGAACACCUUCUGCAUCACCAGAACAGUGUCAGGCAGACUUCUGGAGCUGCAAGAACAGUGGUCGCACGUCUCCUCCACUCGCCACCGUGGCUGGUGGCGCGUGGGUUCACGCGCCGCCGCUGACAAUGCCCGAAAAUGGGCGGAUCUGCCCUGCUUUCUUCUUCCCUUCCCUUCUCUGCUGGCUGUGAGAACCACCGUUACCUGCAAAGGGGGAAAAAUAAACACAAUGCAAAGCUUCCGAUCCUCUCCUUUUUUAGAUCUACUAUCUUCUGUCUUCUCUUUCGGGUUUUCUGUUCUUCCCUUCUUCAGGUGGCAGGUCUGCCGGCUUCUUCUCCCCUUCCCCUCUGCAUCAGCGGUGGCUAGUGAGGAUGGAGACUGGCUGCUGUGGUCGGGUCUGUUCGUUGACCCGGAGAGGGAGGCCGAUGGGUCGGCUGAGAGAGGAGAGGAGGUGUUCCCGGGCGUGGAUGCUGCUGGAUGCUCUUCACUCCUGUUGGUGGCAGCAAUGGUUGGCCUUGCUGCUGUUGUCCGGCUGUCACUGGAGGCUGGUUGAUGGAGACCUGUGAGAUGGCCGGGGAGGGAGGCCGAUGGAAGGGAACAGUUGGGAUGGAGAGGGACGGCACUGCUGCUGUUCAGCCGCUGCUGGGGCCGAAUGGAGGAGAGACCUGGCGAUGGAAAUGAGAGAGUGAGGGGAUCCUGUUCUGUCAAAGAGAGGGGCGAGUGAAAGGGAGAUGAGGGAAAUGCAGAGGAGGCUGCUCUGGCUUGGGAAAAGAAGUUGGAAAUGAGGGCUAUCUGUUGAUGACCGGGCUGUGGGAGAAGGAAGAAAAAUGAGUGCUAGUCUUGGGAGAUGUGGAAACGGUGGGUGUUGUCUGUGAAGGGGAGGCUGGUCUGGGUGUGUGGGGGCUGUGGCUGAGGGGAAGGAACGGUGAUCAAGGGGGAGGGGGCUGGACUAUGGCCGGCUGUCACUGGUUGAAGGAAGGCCUGUGGGAAAGCUGGAGAGGCAGAGAGGGAAGAAGAAACCGAAGGGAAAACUUGGGGAAAGGGGAGCAGCGGCUUGUGUGAAGGAAAAUGGAGUGGGCAGCUGUUGUAAAAAUGAAUGGGGUUUUGUGUUGUUGGCUGGCCAAGGAGAAGAAAAUGGGAGGAACGGCGUGGAGAGGAAAACCAAAAACAUGGGGGGCCUGUGUUGUUGGCUAGAAAAUGGGGGAGGGCUGGCGGCUUGGAGAAGAUGAGAUAGGUUUAGGGUUUCUCUUCCCCUCUUCUGAUGUUGUCAAAAUUCUCCCCUGUUUGAGUUGUGGACCAGUAUUUAUAGAUAAAAUGUUGCAUGGAUCUAAAAAUUGAUCCCUCAACUUUUUUUAUUUUUUUUGUAAAUUUGAUUUUUCUUAAUUUUUUUGUAUUUUUUGAAAACGAGCAAUAUCAACGUCGACUCAAUGAAGAAAAUCAAUGAUUUUAAAAAUAACGCGUUGAAAGUUGAACGCGUUCCAAAUGUCUUUGAAAAUUUAAAUUCUUUUGAGACGAUGCUAAAAAAGAUGCAAAUGUAUUAAAAAUGUAUUUUUUGGAUUUUCAAUGUUUUUCGCUAUUUUUGGAUUUUUUCUGAAAAUUUAUCAAAACAUGGGUCAAAAAUUGGGUAGCAACAGAUGCCCCCUCUUUACAAUGCUUACGAAGCAAAACUCCUCAAUGUUUUGCAUAGUAAGCUUUGUAAAGAAAAACUUGUCUUUCUGUCACUCAAUAUCCACUCAUCUAAAGGCCUUGCUCUUUUUUUUUGUUCUCUCUUCCUUCUCUUUUCUUCCUCUUCUUUCUUCCUUUCUUUCUUUCUCUUUUUUUUUUUAUCUUGAGAUCCCAUCUGGCGAUCUCCUUUUCCAAAACCAAAGAAUAUGUGUAGCUCGGUCAACCUGAAAUCCCAUCUGGCGAUUUCCUUUAACCAAAGCUACAUGAGAUCCCAUCUGGCAACCUCAUUAAACCAAAACUAAAAAAAUGUGUGUGUAGUCUUAUUAUGACGGGUGACCUACCCAAAAUGAAAGAUGGUCUCAUUAUGACGGGUGACCUACCCAAAUACAAGAUGGUCUCAUUGUGAUGGGUGACCUACCCAAGUGGAAAAGGGAAAGAGUGGUCUCAUUUUUAUGGGUGACCUACCCAGGGGGAAGAAUGGCCUCAUUAUAAUGGGUGACCUACCCAAGUAAAAAAAUAAUGGAGAAUGAUCUCAUUCUAAUGGGUGACCUACCCAGAAAAAAUGGUAUCAUUGUGAUGGGUGACCUACCCAAGUGGAAAAGGGGAAGAGUGGUCUCAUUCUUAUGGGUGACCUACCCAGGGGGAAGAAUGACCUCAUUAUAAUGGGUGACCUACCUAAGUAAAAAAAUGGAGAAUGGUCUCAUUAUGACGGGUGACCUACCCAAAUACAAGAUGGUCUCAUUGUGAUGGGUGACCUACCCAAGUAGAAAAGGGGAAGAGUGGUCUCAUUCUUAUGGGUGACCUACCCAGGGGAAGAAUGGCCUCAUUAUAAUGGGUGACCUACCCAGAAAAAAAAAUGGAGAAUGGUCUCAUUCUAAUGGGUGACCUACCCAGAUGGAAGAUAGAAAAAAUAUGAAGUGGUCUCAUUGUAAUGGGUGACCUACCCAUAUGGAAGAUGAGAAAAAUGUGAAGUGGUCUCAUUAUUAUGGGUGACCUACCCAGGUGGAAGAUAGAAAAAAUGUGAAGUGGUCGCGUUAUAAUGGGUGACCUACCCAGGUGGAAGAUAGAAAAAAUGUGAAGUGGUCGCGUUAUAAUGGGUGACCUACCCAGGUGGAAGAUAGAAAAAAUGUGAAGUGGUCGCGUUAUAAUGGGUGACCUACCCAGGUGGAAUAUAGAAAAAAUGUGAAGUGGUCGCGUUAUAAUGGGUGACCUACCCAAGUGGAAAGAAUGUGAAGUGUGGUCUCAUUAUAAUGGAUGACCUACCCAGAUGGAAGAUAGAAAAAAUAUGAAGUGGUCGCGUUAUAAUGGGUGACCUACCCAAGUGGAAAGAAUGUGAAGUGUGGUCUCAUUAUAAUGGGUGACCUACCCAGAUGGAAGAUAGAAAAAAUAUGAAGUGGUCGCGUUAUAAUGGGUGACCUAUCCAAAGAAAAAGGAAAGAAUGUGAAAAACGGUCUCAUUAUGAUGGGUGACCUACCUAAAUGGAAAAAUGUGACUUACCUAGCAAAAAGACUUGGCAGGCGAAGUCCUGAUAGGAUAAGGCUGACAAACGGCGCUUCCUAAUUGCAAGGUUUACUUGAAGACUCCUCUUGAUGACGGGGUUAAUCUCCUCGUUUCUUUGAGAUUCUCCUACUGGCAGGGUUCAUCUCAUUCUCUUCUCGUUCCAGGAUCUAAACCGAUUCUUUGUCAUCAUCAACUCAAUGAUUCUUUCUUUGUCCACAACCUUGUUGAACUUCAUUGAGGAUCUUUCUGUAACAAAUCACAAGUAUGUGCAAUGCUUUGAGGUUAGAUGACAUGCAUGCAUCCUUACCUGAUGUGAAAUAUAGGUCCCCCCCUUUGAUGAUCCAUCGUCAUAGGGUGCCUUUGUUUGCUAACCAAAGCCUUCUUUGCUCUUCCCAUGUACUGACUCAUUCGUGUGCUAGCCAUCCACUCAAAUGUAAGUGCAGUGCCCAUCUCGGGCUGUCUACGACGAUUACUACUCUCAGUUGUUCUCAAUGUUGACCAUGCUUCCAAGCGUGGUGUUGCUCGAUUCAUCAUGAAGGAGUUGAACAAAUCAUCCAUCUCCUAGAUUCUCUCAAGAAUUGUCCUUUGAUUGGUUGUGCGUGUUUUGCCACUGCCGGUCAAGAGGUUUUCUAGUGUUUAACCUCAUUUUAGAUGGACUUGCCCCCAGUUGAAAUAACACUCUUCAAGUAUAUAUUAUCACCCGCCUUCUUGGAACUGCUAAGUCAUCCAGACAUGCCUCUCAUACUUUGCAGUAAAAGGCUAAUCAUUGUAAGCUCAAAGUUCUUCUCCAUAGAUUCCUCUCAGCUUGUCAAAUCAGAUCAGGAAAGGAAAUGCGUUGGCAUCAUCAAUGAUGUUCAUCACCCAUAUUCAUGCGGUGAAGUGUACAUUUGAGCUUCAAAGCAGAUGGUCCCACAGUCAGUCUUGGUGGGUGCAUCUUUCCAACAUUCAUUCAAAUGCAACUAUGCGAUAACAUCAUUCAAAAGUCAUAGCCAUGUUGGAGAUGAUAAACCAUGAUGAAGAUAUGAAAAUAUCCUUCAAAUGCAGCGUUGUUCAUCAAUUGCUGUUGAAGUUCACUAGAUCACAAACUGUCUUUGAACAAUAUUGCCCCCAGCAAUGAUUUGAAUGCUUGUUCAUCUGUCUAUAAUCAAGAAGUUUUUUUUUCUUUGUCAUUGCCAGAUGCUAAACAUAACUUCGAUGGACUUUGACGACUCAUCAUCUGAUUUUUUUUUUGCUUUGCCCUCAGCUGAUCUGAAUACUGCUUGUUUUCCUACCUAGGAUCCACUGUAUUGCCCCUAGGUGGUCAACUUUUCAAGGAGUGUCGAGAAAUGUUGAUGUCAUUCUUGUCAAGGAUUUUGCAAAUUCAAUCGAUGUUCUUCUUGUUUGACAAUCUUCCUUGUUCUGGAAUCAAAUCUCAUAUUUCAACGCUCAUGUCUAUUCAAAUCUAAUUGUUGAAAUGAAAUCAGAGAGAUGUCAAUUUUGAAAAGUAUUUUCUGGAAAUCAAGCUUGUUUGGUCAAAGAUCCAACACACGCUAUUCAAUGAAGUCCUUUAAUUGUCUUGUAUUUUGAAGACAGAAAUAACUCGUUGUAAGAUUAAAAUGACUUUUUUCGUGGUUCUUUGUGUCAAUUUUAAUCUUUGAUCUUAGGUAUAUCUUUUGAUGGCCUGCGAUGAGGUGACCUUCUGUGGAUUUCAAGAAACAAAAGGCUCAAGUCAAAACUUGAGGAUUCAUCAAGAAAGAUUGUUUUCUUUUUUAGCACCAAUUUUAUUAGCAUGCAUAAUAACAAGUAGCUUAAUCCAUGAAGUCACGACCCUUAUGGAAAAGCUCUUCAAGUUUUGAGAUCGUCAUUUAUCGGUUCAGAUUGCUUACUUGAUUAAAAAAAGGCUUUUUACAGCACGUAAUGCAUGCUAUGGUUCAUGGCUUAUGAAAGAAAGGAAAUUCACAGGCUCAAAAGGUGUUUGAGGGUUUUAAAGACCUAGGAUCAACAUCAAUUAUUCAUCAACUCCUUUUCUAUUGUUGUCUUUGUAGAGACGACAUAGAACCUUGUUAACCUCAAAGAUCAGACUUCUCUUAACAUAAGUCAUAAUGCAAAUCCACCUUUCCUUGAUGAAUAACCAACCUCAAUCAUCUGAUAACAUCAGAGGUUUUAUAAUGGAUAUCAAAAGUCACGUUUAUAGCUUAGUCUUUCUUCUGCUAUUGACUUUUGUUGUCUUUCCUUGAUGUCUUUCUUCUGCUAUUGACUUUUGUUGUCUUUCCUUGAUUGAAAUUUCUUUUGCCAAGACUUGAUAGACAUUCUCUUUCCUUUAUCUUUGACUUGCCUUUAAGUGAAGGCAAUUUCAACUUCUUUUUUUUUUUUUCAUAGCCUUCCUCAAAAUUUUCUUAUAUGCCCCCAGCCUAUGUGUUUUCUUUUAGCCCUCUCUCAAUCAUUGGACUUUUGUUCUAAGCCUUCCUUUUAUCCAUUAAUGUCUUCAAAAUAUCUCUCAUUGCCCCCAGUGUGGGGUGUGGUCCUAGUCAGGGUUUCUUUUUGAAAGAAAAUAUUUUACAAGGCUAAAAAAUGGGACUGCAAGGGAUAUAAUCUUUAGAAAGUGAAGGGAUAUCAAAGAUGACAUUUUCUCAUUUCAAGCAAGGUCGGUUAGAACCGAUAAAUUUUGACCUCAUCCAGUGUAAUGAUUGGGACUUGUAAGAAUAAUGAUUCACGAGUCCAUAACUAUCGAAUCCACUACAUGUCAUUAUGCAUACUGCUAAAACUUAGCUAUAUGAUGUUUUUUUCAGUUUCAGGAGGUAUGAGUUCAAAAUUGUUUGGUCACCUCAUGUCAUUUUCAAGAAUCAAGUCGUUUCUGCAAUCAAAAUAUUUUUAAUCUUCAGGAUUAAUUAAUCUUAAUCGUAUGUUCGAGCUUGAUCAAAAAUAUUUGUGUCAAAAUAGCCUUUGAAAGAAGCAUCGCUUGAUUUCAAAACAACAAGAAGACAAAGAGAAGACAUGUUUCGUUGAAGGGUGAGAUGUGAUCCCAAAACAAAAUGCAGAAUGCUAAAAUCCCAUAACAAAAAUGAUUGACAAUUUGACCCCUUCUUGGAUCACCUACUCUGGCGAUAUCUGUGUUUCACCGAGUCAAUUUCGAUCACUUGUCAUUCUGAGGAUGUUCUGGUGACAACAUGAUUGAUGACAUCAUCUUUCACAAACUCAGCUCGAUUCUUGAAACUCUUGUGUCUGUUCAACUGAAAUGGUUCACGAACCCUCCAUGAUAUUCACAUCUGGUUUGAAUUAUACCACGGUGGUUGCAUGCAAUUUGUCGAAGUCCGGGGCACUAAGUCUGGAAUCUGGCAGAUGCUAGUCGACAAACUUAAGUGGCAGAGGGAUGUCAAUCUUGGCAAAGACAUUUGAGCCAUUGAUGCUACAAUGAGACCUGGCUAAACCACAUAACUAUGGUUUUCCAUCUUCAGAGUCAUCUCCUUAUUCAACUCCCUUCACAGUUCUGAAAUCCACGGUAGAGCCUUCAAUCUUUCCCAUCUUGAUAGUUAGCUCUAUUCUUUUGGCAAUCCUCACAACAUCAUGUCAAUCUUCCAAUGUUGUUGCGGUUGUAUGAGAAUUGUUGGAACCCUCCACUAGCUAGGUAAUCUUGGCAGCAUACAGAAACAUGCAGUACCACCACUGCCGACGUGUGGAAUCACGCGUUGUCUCAACUGGAAGAGAACUUGAUGAAUCUAAAACUCCUUUGUCUCCUCUUUGAUUCCUCACUGACGGCGCAUCAAACAGACACCUGUAGAGGGAGUUCUGCUCCAUUGAAGUUUCAGUCUUAUUCCCGUUUUUCAGCCCACGUUUGUCUCUUCUCCCUACUUUUGUGUUUUAAUUCCAACACUGGUAGGAGAAAAUUGUAGACGAUCUGAAACUACUGCAUCCCUUCUUGGAUUCCUCACUUACAGAUCCACAAACAAAUCUCUAUAGAGAGAGCUCUGCCACAUAGAAGUUUGAUGUCUGCUUAUGUUUUUCAGACCAGGUAUGGCUUUUCAACCCACUACAGUGUCUUCGUACUGAAACUGGUGGCGUAAAUUUUCAUAUCUUCUGAAACUACUACAUCCCCUGUUCUGCUAGGAAAACAUGAUAUCAGUAUCUAACUUUUGAACAAAGAGUUCAGCAUCAAGUCUCAGUCAUCUUGAGAUUUGAAUGCCCAUAUAUAUUCACAUGCUCAUACAAUAACAUUUUUAAAAAUGCAUUAUGCAUUAGAAACAGAACAUCAAACAAAGAGUUCAGCAUCAAGUAGAACGCAUGAAAGUCCACACAUUAAACCAAAAGAAACACAAAUGGGCAAGCAAACAUACGCCCUUACUUCUGGAGGCU